Long non-coding RNA from Mus musculus (house mouse), 50191 nucleotides. RefSeq annotates it as predicted gene, 39752. NCBI's taxonomy places the organism in Eukaryota, Metazoa, Chordata, Mammalia, Rodentia, Muridae. The record is from RefSeq and is a predicted model, not a curated record. The transcript has 2 exons.
UAAUAAUAAUAUCUAUAUUGCAGAGGGUGGUCUUGAACUUCUGGUCCUCCUGCCUCCACCUCCCAAAUUUGGGGAUUAAAAGGUGCCCAGUUUAUACUGUUCUGUAGACCAAUCCCAAGGCCUUGUACAAGGCAAACACUCUACCAACUGAACUAAAUCACCAGCUUUAAGUCAUGGGAUUCUUUGAAAAGCAGACUUAAUCAAUCCCUUUAAUUUUAACAGUCAUUAAAAGUCACCCAUUAAAGGUCAUGCACAUCAAUAAGAGGCUAGAUGUCACCUAUCUUGUAUUGUUCACAUACAUACACACAUAUUGCACAUACACACACAAGCAUGCAUAUUCAUAGAUACACAGCCAUGUAUACACACAUACGAGCAUAUACAUGCCUGAAUGUGUAUACUCAGCACACAUACAAUUACAGUACGGUGUGUUGAAGUAUAUACAACCAUGCAUGCACACUUCAUGACAGCAGCCAUUGUGUAUCUCCAGUGUUUCUUUAGGGUGAGCUGAACAAAUACUGUUGCUCCAACCUGAGCAAUUCCCACCGGAGAGGUGCAGAAUGGGUGCCAAAGGGCCACCAAGCUGAGCUAUGCAGACAGAGCUCCCUGAGUCGGUCCCCGCCCACCUCUCUUUUCCUGUUUUAUUGGGGAAGGAGCAAUAUUUUCUUUGAGCACGGGGUUACCCUGGGGGUAGGCUGGCACUCUGUUUAGGAGAAGCUCUGCCUGUUCAUGCUGAGAAGGAACUGGCCCAGGACAACAAAGAGUUGCAAGCCUACAUUUCCAUUCUAAUUAGCAUUUUCUUCACUUCGGGAGAUUGUUACCCCAGGGAGCCUCAUUAGCAUAGUUUUGAUGCCUCACCUGUACACAGGAACUCCUGUGGUGGUCUCUUCAUUCCACAUGCCUCUUACUCUCUAACUCUAAAAUCCACAAGGCACACAUACUGGCUCAAUCUGUAGAGCCUGCCUGUCAGACCAGAAGCCCUGGACAGUCUCUCACCAAUUUCCUCACCAAGACUGCUUUUGGCAGAACCUUCCACUGGAUUAUGGCUUUGUUUACCUAUCUUCCUUGGCUGAGUUGGACUGCAUUAUCUCAUCAAGAUUCUCUUGCCAAGAGCCCACACACACCCUGCUUCAUUAUAAUUUGACUCCGGACAUCACGAGUUAAAGCUGUAAGCUUGCAAGGAGCACUUCCUUCCACAUUAGCCUUUCUUUUCCAAAUAAAUUCACUAGGUGGCAGUGAACAGCGAGGGAAAGAGCACUGCUUCUCAAAAGAGGCAAAAGCAAGGGGAGCUAAGCAUAUCUAAUCUCGAAUUCUAAAGAAUCCUUUUAGGAGCUCUGAUAUACGUUGCUAAUGGAAGCAGCUAGUCUCCAUUAAAUGAUGAGAUGCCAAGAUAUAAUGUCAAGUCUCUUCUCAGCACUCCACUGAUCAUUUUCAGACCAGCUGUGUUCAUAUAUUAAAGUUGUAUGCAUGUGUGUAUGUGUGCAUGUGUAUGUAUGUGUGCAUGUGUGUGUAUGUAUGUAUGUAUGUGUGCAUUUAUGUGUAUAUGUGUGUGCAUGUAUGUGUUUAUUUGUGUAUAUGUGUGUAUGUAUGCAUGUAUAUGUAUGUAUGUGUGUAUAUGUGUGUAUGUAUGUGUGUGUAUUUAUGUGUGUAUGUGUGUAUAUGUACAUGUAUGUGUGUGUAUAUGUGUGCAUGUGUAUGUGUGUAUGUGUUAAUAUUUAUAUGGGUAUAUGUCUAUAAGUAUGCAUGUAUAUGCGUAUAUGUGUAUGUUUGUGUAUGUAUGUAUGUGUAUGUAUGUGUGUAUAUGUGUGUAUUUAUAUGUGUAUGUAUGUGUAUAUAUGUGUGUAUAAGUAUGCACGUAUAUGUAUGUGUGUAUGUGUGUGUACAUAUGAGUGUGUCUAUAUGUGUGUGUAUAUGUGUAUGUAUCUGUGUAUGCAUGUGUGUGUAAGCAUGCUCACGUGCAUAGCACACUUUCUUUAGAAGACAGAGAAGCCUCAUUAUCAGAUUAGAAAUUUUAGGAUUAUUGUUUUAUAGUUAAUUCCUCCAGAUGACCAUCAUUUCAACUAACAGCCCCCAUUUCUUCCUACUAAGCUCUGACUUCCCAUUUGCUCAGCAGGUAAAGCUUAGAGUCCUAAGUGCCUCAGUGUGGAGAAGACUCUUAUGUCUUAAGACACUGACUGAAACCUUAGUGCACGCGUCCUCUGAGUUCCCUGGGUUUUAACCUAUAGGCACUUUGUUUGGUGGAGAAGAAAACAACUGUAAGCCAGCUAAGACAGCUUCCAGAUGGUCUGAGCAUUGGUGUGUGCUGAGAGUUCCUUUGCACCAGACUCAGAACUGCCACCAUUGUUAUCCCACCGCCUCCUUGUCCUGUGGUUUCCAUCCUAGCGGAGAUCCAGUGGAUGCCAUGCAUGGAGUGAUCUUUCCAGACAGGCAUUUGACACCUUUUGUUGGUCAUAUUAUCACUGGGACUCUGACUGAAUUCCACAGUUCUCAGGGCCGUGAUUCACCCUAUUGCCGGCUUUCUCCAUACCCAGACUCUGUCUUUGCAGUUCCCAUGAAUUUAAGUACUGUCUUGAUGAGAAACUAACCCAACUACUCCUGCUUUUCCUAACCACAUAACCUCUGCGAUACUUAGUCUUUGUUAUCAGCCUGACUGGAUUUAGAAUUGCACAGAAGGUUAAAGUACACCUCUCCAUGCAUUGUGGAGGUCUCUCCAGAAAGUAUGAACUCAGAGCAAUGAAGCAACCCAAAUGGAGGCAGCAUAUAUACAGGAGCAGGUGGGGAAGGGGGUGAGCAGAAAUAGAAAAAAGGAGAAGAUGAGCCAAACACCAGUACUCUCCCUUCUCAUAGCUAGCAAGAAGUAAAAGAACAACAUCAAUUCCAAGCUCCAAUCACCACAAUGUCUUAAACAAGGGUUUGGGCUAGGAUAUUGAUUAGACCCUCUGAAACCAUGAGCCAAAAUAAACUAUUCCUCCUUUAAAUUGUUUCUGUUGGGUAUUUGAUCACAGUGACAAAAGAAAAUGAUGAGCACAUACCCUCUGAGCUCUCAAGUUCUACACUGUAUCCUAGGCUGGUCCUAAAAUCUCAUUUUCUAAUGGCUGCCUCCCUCCCUCAAUGCUGACUGUGUUCUCAUGCACUAUUGGGUAUUGUUAACCUCUAAGUCCGUAAUAGUGUCCAAUUCCAUGUUGAAUUCCACCCUUGUCCAUGUGGAAACCAUCCAAUGAUGAUCACCAUGAACACUCAGCUUUUUCUGAUGUCUAACUCAGUGAGCACUGAUGAUAGAGAGCUCUGUUGUACAUACUGAGACACAGCUUACAGCCUUCAUAUAGAUCCAGGUUCUACCUUAGCAUCUUCUCAAUGCCAGCAGCAGCAUCUUUCACAGCCAUGCCCCACCUAGGAUAGGAAGGCCUAGUUCUGUUGCAGCAAAGUCUUAUGCAUGGUUGUGCCCAGGGCAUCAGAGUAUCCAGCUCCAUCAUAACCAAGACCAGUUCCAAAGCAGUCGCCAGGCAGUGACAUUGAUUCAAUAGAGAAAGUGAGUCUAUGUGCUAAGUGGCUGCCAGCCUGGCUUGCAGUGUGAGCCUCCACCUGGUUACCUUCUAUAACACAAAAUAACAUAUCAGAAACAUAAAGGGAAAUGAACUCAGCCUAGCUCCAGUGACAGGGUGGCAAGGUGACCUGGAGAUUGGGCAGAUGAGAAUAUAAGCUACCCCUUGCUAAGUUGAACUCAAGCAAUGUCAAGUUUCUCUCUAUGGAAUGCAAAGUUGGAUCUUCCAGAAUAUCUGUGCUUCGGAUGCCAUGUUAAUUAUCCUGUAAAGGAUGUAAAGGACUAGCUUGGGCUGUUAAGAGCACUCGUGAUUCCUCUUGGGAACUUAAUACACACAUAAUAAAUCUUGCUGAGGUAGCCAGACAGCAAAUGAGAAGAGGCCAAAUAUUUCCUAAGGAAAAUGAAGACUCAACAAAUCAGCUCAGGAAAUAAAUGUUAAUGCAGACAAUGAGAUAUUUUUAUACAGCUACUGACUCCAAAGUAGUUGAAAUAUUUUAAGGUUUAUUUUUUCCUAGUGCUGUGUGGGAGGUAUUUUUCUAUGCUACACAAACACACACACACACACACACACACACACACACACACACACACACACACACACUCACACACCCUUUAAUGUACUUUUAAAGGGUAAAAUCUCAGUUAAAGAAACUGGCUGUGCAUGGUGCUAUGCCUGUAAUUUAAGUACUUGGAAAGUUGGAGCAAGGAGGGGUGUGAGUUCAAAGCCAGUCUGUGAAAUGAGGUCAGGGCUGGGGGUGGGGGGGCAGGACAUGUCACACAAGGCUCACAACCUGAGUUCUGUUCCCAGAACCUGUGGUGGAAGGGGAGAUGCAGCUCUUAAAAACUGUCUUCUGUCUCCCACAAGCAUGUCAUGGAACACCCAUAUGGAUGUGUACACACACACAGAGAGACACACACACAGAGACACACACUCACACACACACAGAGACACACACACACACUCACACACACACACACAGUGAUGGAGAUGAUGAUGAUGAUGAUGAUGAUGAUGAUGACCACAAUGGUGAUAAAAUAUUUUUAGAAGAGAGAGAAAUAAAAAGAGAAAACUAAGAUUAGUGGGCUCUGGAAAGAGGUGAAACUCCUCUUUUAAGACUUUGGGAAUCUGUCCAUUUUUAACUCUCUUUUCCUGAAAUCCUGUUCACACUUUGCAGUUAAAGCAGGUUUGGUGCCAUUUGCUGUCUCGCUGGUCUGUUCGAUCGAAACCUCAGCUCAGCCACUUCAGUGUUAACUCUAAUGGAUACUUAAUGUGGGCAAUUCUUUUUAACAAAAUCAGAAACUGGUAUGGUUUACAUAUGUACUGGCCUGUCGGCUCCUGUGUUUGAACUCUAGCAAUGAAGCUUAAAGAGGCUGGGGGGGGGGGUGCGGGGGGUGCUUAGGAAGUGUCCUUAGUUGGAGGAAUGGGCUCAUUGGGUAUGGGAGUAGGUUUUGAAAGGUUAUAGGCAGUGGGCUCACUUCUGAACCAAGCUCUCCACUUUCUGGUUUGUCGGGAUGUGACAAGCCUUGAAGUCUUAAACACAGUCCUGUGGCUACACAGUGCCCCAGCCUCCAUGCCUUCCUCACCAUGAUGAACUGUGUCCUCUUUAGCCAUGAGCUCACAAACCCUUCCUCCCUCAAGCCAUAUCCAUCAUGCCUGCUAUUCAGUCACAGUAAUGAGAAGAGUAAUAUAAAAAGCUUGAGAAUUCUCACCAACCAAAAGAUGUAUCUCGAGGCACUGAGCCCAGCCUAUGGAGUUCACUAGUCACAGUUAUAAAGUUAAAAGAUUUAAAGUACUUGAGAUACCUCAUUGGCAAGUUGAUUCCCUUGCUAAUAAGGACCUUUGAUCUCUAAACAAUUGCAGAUGCUUCAGGUGACACACCAAAUUCUAACCCCAUUCCAUUUCCCUCGACCAGAGUCUACGAUUUCUGACUGAGUCCUUCUCAGGUCCACUGUACCUUCCCCAGGCCAUGUGCCCAUACCACGUGUAUGUCACCAACAUACAGACAGUGGUGGUGUUCUCAGGUUCUCAGCCUCCCACCCGUGUGUGUGUGUGUGUGUGUGUGUGUGUGUGUGUGUGUGUGUGUGUGUAUGUGUGUGUGCCCCUUCCUCCUGAGGAUUCUGCCGUAGCAGUGAAACACGCAUCCACUAGGCUACCAAGCACUUCUCUCUCGGCCAUGUUCUUCCCAUCUUGUGUGAGGCGGAGCUAUAGGAAGUGUGACUUGCUCAUGAUCUAUGACCAGCACAAAUAUUCUGUCUUGGUGAUCCUGUAGCUUCCAGGUCUCAGGCAGAAAUAAGAAUAUCUUUUAGACAAAACAUCAGCUUGGAGCCUCUCCGCCAGUCACUAUUCAGAGGGUUUUUCCUCCCCAGUCAUCCUUAGGUCUCUGCUAUAAAUACUCUCCCUGCUGCCAGCAACACGUUACUAUUUUAUACUUACUGUGUGUGCCACACAGUCACAGUGCCACCCACUCCAGAGACAUUUCUGCUCUUCUCUUCCUCCCUGAGAAUGUCACCUUCGCUCUCCCAGGGAAUAACUGGACUUACUCACGUGGAAGAGUACAAGUCUCACAAAGCAAUGUAUGCCCAGGGGCUGAAUUUAUGGACUUAGAAAGAUAGCACAAAACACGUUCUAGAAAAUACCUGUGUAUCUGACCUAUGAGCCCUGGCUCUCUGCCAUAGGCUGGUCCCAUCCAGUCAGUGCACACUAUGGCCAAUGGCUCCCCUCAAGCGGCAAAGGAGAGAUUUUCCCACAAGGGAAAACAUUCCAGUAAAACUAUACCUUCUUGGUUUUAAUGGUUAAAAAGGGUGAAUUUUUUUCCACCCUCAAUAAAUAAAGUGUUUUGAGGCCAAGACUCUCGGGAGAUAAUCAUUAUAAAAGCUGCCACAGAAACUAGCAUGUUUGAAAACACAGAAUGAAGCUGGCCUGAUUCCCAGCACUCUGGGGAAGAAGAUGGGGGGAGAAGGCCUUUGUUCUCCUACAGCAGGUGACAGCACACCGCUGGACUCGCCAGUCCUGUGUGGGAAAUGGUGCUGAUAAGCCGCCUCAUGUUGUGCAUGCAUGGGGCUAGCUGCCCAGACCAAUGAAGAACAGUUGGACAAUGGAUGGGAAGCUGGCCAGCAGCAAUCACAUUAGAUACCCUUCCCUCCCCCGUGGAAAUACCCUUUGAGAGCCAGCAGCAGAUCCUGUGGGAAGAAGAUGACACUGGGAGCCAACUGUGACAGGAAGAUCAGCUGUGAGAGGAAAGAGAUUUCAAGUUCUAGGGGCACUCCAAGAAAGUGGCUUUGAAGAGGUGGUGACAAGACUAUAGGGGUUAAGGGGAUGAGUCCCCACCACCUUCUUUCUCAACUAGGAUUUCCUUACAGGUCUGUGAUAGAGAAGACCUCUAAUCCACCUUGCCUUUGAUACCAAUGUAUCAAUGACGGGGGCCCCGCCCUCCGCCGCCUCUGCGCCGUGUAUUAUCUUCCUAAGUGAACCAUGAGGGCUGAGAUAGCGGUGUUUGCUAUAAGAAGCCUCCCUUCCCCCUGUGUUAUUUUCAUGGAACCUCCUAACAGCAGACCUGAACUGAAGGUUAGCGUAGCAGUGCUCAGAGGCAAGACAUCAUGAAGGAGGAUGUAAAAAGAAGUUGUGUAAGGUGUGGGGUCAGAUGAAGCCCUGGGGAGCUACUGAGAGUAGUUCCAGAAUUAAAUAGAAACCCAGGAUUCCACAAUCCCAACAGGAAAGAAACAGUCAGCAUGUUGAGACAGAAGCAAGCCCCCCCCCCCACACACACACACAUACACAUACACACACCUACAGUGGUCUUCAUGAGCCAAACAGCUGAGCCCAAAGACAGAUCCUAGAAGACACAUGAGCACAGCGCAAAGAGAAUCUGGGGGAUGGGCAGGCUGAAAGAGGUGAGCAAGGUCGGGCACACUUCAGAGUGACUGUCUCAUUCAUUGGGAUCCCUCCUCUGCUCAGUGACAUUGUCAGGCAGAUGACACAAAGCCAGGCAGAAUGGGUAAUCUGCUGGUGACAGAAUGAACCUCUAGAGGGAACUGCUGCAGGCUGGAAGGGCAGAGUGAGCAGGAGAGAGGAGAGAUGUAUGCAUUUUCAGCUGCUAGGAAACAGCACCAAGGACUUCACUGACAAUAAGCCCUGUGGUGUCCACACACAGCUGAAACCAUUAAAAAGACCAAUGCUCUCUAGCUCUGAGCACGAAGCUAUCAGCUUACGAUCAGGACAGGAAGAAGAUCUUAUCAUAAGCAUCUUGUAGAGAGUCACAUGGCUGAGCUGGGGAGAUGGCUCAGUUAGUGAAGUGCUUGCCAUGGAAGCUCCAGGAGCCGAGUUCAAUUUCCAGUUCCCAUGGAAAGGGCUGGGAGUGAUAGCAUUUGUCUGUAAUCCCAGCUCAGAGGAGACAGAGAUAAGAGGGUCGCAGGGGCUUGAUGGAAGCCAGUCUAGCCAUUCAGGGAGCUCCAGAUUCAGUGAGAAAGCCCGAUGCCCAGGAGUAAGAUAGAGACCCAUAAAGGAAGAACUCAGUGAUGGCCUCAGAUCCUGCAUGCACAUUUCUACACACGUAUAUGCAUCAACCCAGAUGUGUGUGUGCAGAGGAACAUGUGCAUCUAUCCAGAUGUGUGUGUGCACAUCAACAUGUACACACACAAAGAAGUAAGACAGGUCACUCUGCUCUUGUCACUGUGCUAAGGACUAUUGUGUUUAGAGAAGAAAAUUUGAAUUUUAUUGGAAUGGAGCUGAAAGUAUUUGUCCAGAAAAAAAAAAAAAAAGACAAGAAAGAUGUUGAUAACUUUCUUCAGAUAUGCAAAGAAAUCUCAUAUGAUAAAAGGAGUGAGGCUGGGGAGGGAAGAUCUGCAGAGAGGAAACUGCAUUCAAGUUCUUGACCUUCCCCAUCAUUAAAAUGUUCCAAAACCCACUAUUUUCCCAGAAGCCGAGCAGGAUGCUGCCUUCCUUACCACCCAGGUGCUAAUGCAAGAGCCAGCAACUGUAAAGGGGGCUCGAGCAUCCAUCAGAGUGCCAUAUCUUCCUCUCUCUGCCAAGGGGUGUGGUGUGCAUCACAAGGCAACCCAGAAUGGAUAAAUAGAUGAUAGGUAGUCAGACAGGAAGUUCAGGCAGAGGACAUCUUGAUCUGUUUCCUCGUGCUGUAGUAGACUACCUGAGGCUGAGUUAUUUACAAAACGAGCUUCAUUAUAUUUGACCCAUGGUGGAAAUCAGAAAGGAAUUAAAGACAUAAUAAAGUGAAGUUACAGCAAGAAGGGCAUGGGUAGGGGAGCUUAUAUUUGUAACGACCCAUUCUAGUGAUAACAGACUCCAUCCCCAAGAGAAAGGAAGCAAGCCACUCAAAAUGCUCCAGCUGUGUAAGUCUGCCCUUAGGUCUGCCUCUCAGCCUGCCGGACCAGCAGAGGUCAGGGUAAGUUUCAGAAGAGACAAACUAUACUAAGACCAAAGCUGGAGAGAUACGUAAACAAAUGACAGAUAUAUGGAUGGAUGCAGGACACAGGAUCUAAUAGAAAUAAAUAAACAGAACCCAGCCAGGUGGCUCAGGGGCUAGAGGCACUUGUGAGCAGGCCUGAAACCUGGUCCCUAUAUUCAUAUUCACUCCCUCUCGCUCUGACACUCACACCCAUACAAACACACACACAGAUAAAUAAAUGCAUAUUUUCUUAAAAGUCUAUCAUGACUAGCCUAGGAAGACAAGUGACUUAGGACUUAGCUAUAUUGCAUUGGGUCCAGGGCUAACCAAGGCACACUUUCUACUCGCAGAACGGGCAGGCCUGAGUCCUGAACAGAGAUGUAUACACUUACAUAAUGUGACUUCCAAACACCCAGCUGUGAUUGGUUUGUUCAGUCUUUGAUUUCCCUUUUCAAUCACCUCAGCAAAUCUCUCCACGGGGACUAAAUUACUUUCCCCUUUCAUAGAUAAGGUCAUUAGAGUACGGGAAAGUCAGAGGAAUUUGCAUCCCAGACGGUCAGCCUCCAUAGCUGCUAUUGUCCUCCCAGAUACCAAGGGGACUUUAUAAAUAUAAAGGGAUCCUGUUUGCCCCCUUGUAAAUAGCAAAUAACCCCCACCUCCCCUUUGAGGUACAACAGAAGCUAUGGUAACAGUCUCCUUCAAAGAUAACUCUUAGUCUCUGUUUCCUCCUCCAUUUUAGUGAUGUAGCCUAGGUAGUACUGUCGUUUAGAUUAGCUAUUAGUUGCAAGUGACUUUGAAAUCUAUGUGGUAUAUAGACAAAUCAAAUAUGGCCAUAUCUGGGUGAAAGGGCUUUAUGCUUUGAUGCCUGUUUCUCAUGGAGGUAAACUGAGGUCAGUGAGCCAUGGCAGCUGUUUGUGCUAACAGACUUGUCCAUUCUGGAUUCUACCAAGAACCAGUUUACUGAACACAUCAGUCCACGUGGAAUUGCUAUCAAUGAAAAGAAAACUGAAGAAGCCCAAAUAGUAACAAUAGCAGACUGUAGUUGUGCAAACGGAUGCGAUGGUCUGCUGUCUCGUUCUAUCCUUACUUCAACAUCUGACCCCAAUUCGAGUAAGACAUGUUGUACAUCUCAGAGUAUCUCUCACCCCAAACUACAUGCCUACUCCAAACCAACCGCUUCCGAUUUGCCUUCAAUUUUCCCAGCAUUAACACCAAAAUUCCCAAGCCCAGAGGAGCCCCCUCAGUCUCAGGCAAACAAGAAUGGUUUAUUCCCAGCAUUCACACACCAUAAGCAUCUGGAGUCAUAGUCACAUUGUUCUGAAGCUGGCAGAAGCAGAAACCUCCACACUCCAACUAAGAUAUCAAGAAGCUGAGCUUAAAGUGGCGGAGUCCUUUACCUCCCGGCGGCAAACUGGCAGAGGCAAGCCUGUGUUCUUCCACACUCAGACAAGUCAGCAAUGACAGCUUUUGUUUUAUUUUUAGAGAUGGGGAGGGGGUCUUGCUAUGUAGCCCAGGCUAGCCUUAAACUCUCUAUUCUCCUGCCUCAGCCUCUCAAGUGUUGGGAUCACAGGAGUGGACCACCAAUUCAGGUAAUAGGUGUUUGUCUCCGUUGGUGCUCGCUUGUGGUUUUAAGGAAGCAUACACAUCUAUAUAAGCUCUCAAGGGGGAUCCAUGAGUAAAGGAAUUUGCAGAUAAGCUUUCUUUGCCAUGUUAAGACAACUAAAUAACUUUUCUCAAGAAAAGGGGGGGGGGGAGACAAGAAAAAAAAUCAAUCCUUUAGAUCAUUGUUGAAAGCAGCCAUGUUCCUAUGAGCUGAAUAUGAAGAGAAUUUAUAAUAAAAUCCUCCCUAACUACAGAUUCUCCCAAAUGCUCUCAGGUCGAGAUAACCCUUUCUUCCCUUUAUGAAGCAGAAAAUAUAAAUCAGGUACUGCAGUUUGAGCCUGGGUCCUUGCACACGCAUACUGAUACACACUUUACCACGGACCUAUACCCAAACCCCUUUGUUGGUUGCUGCAUUUGAGACAGGACGUUGUUCUGUAAGUUUUUCAGGCAGGCUUUAAAUUUGUGAUCCUCUUCUUCAAGCCCCAUGUAGCUGGGAUUUCAGGUGCAAACCACCAGCCCUUGCUAAGCUGCAAGUCAUUAAAAACUAAUUUCUCUUAAGAAUAAGUUUUUCCGUAACACAUGUUGAAAAUGCAUGAAAAUUCAAUCAUCAAUCCAAUGGACUUGCUAUUCAUAUUAAUGAAUUUUGAGGCACUGUUAGAAGCUGAGUUAUCACAGCUGACCACAUGUUCUCUCUGUAAGGACAACAGAAGCUAAUACAGUGCAAAGAUACUUUUGUUUCCAGGAUUCAAAACCACAAUGAGCUUUGUGUUCGGCCCUUGAUUAAACAAACAAUUAAUCAGCAUUUCCAUCCCCGUUUACCUAAUUAGGUUUUCUUCUUUGCAAAUAAGACAGGGUCACAUGUCAUUUUGAUUUAUUUCCAUUUCUACCAGUGUAAAUACAAAUGUACCACAACAUGACCUGUGGAAGAUGAAGGCCUGUGAUUUGAAAUAGGAAGGAGAGGGUCAGGAAGGCUGAGGCACAGUGGACUUGUCAUAGAAUAUAUUAAGGUCGAAGGCAGAGGAUUUGGAAACAAUAACACAACAUAAAAUAAAGGGAGCCUCGGUGCUAAUGAAAAGAUCAACACUCUUGCAUGCUGGCUGUGGUCCAAAAAAGUGCAAAAGCUCAGAGCUGUGAAAUGAAUGGAUUCCUCGCGCUGCAGCGGAACAGUUAAUGCAAAUUCCUCCAGGUUCAUGAAUCGCAUUUGGGAUCAGGCAGAUGGUCCAUCCCCAAAACCACGACUCCACCAAUUUCACAGAGAGCAGGUUUUCACAGGACAGUGAGCACAAAUGAAGAGAUGGAGAGAGAGAGAUAGCUACCCACAGCUCACUCUGUUCCGCUGGCUGCUAUGUUUCCUGUGCCAUUGUGUGAGGCAGUCUGUCUUCCCAGCAUUCCCAGGGGCACAGAGUUGCAAGGCAAGGGUGAGCUUCUGAGACCUGUUAAGUCUCUCUGCCUUUCUGAGGUUUUCUGAUAAGGAAGUCUGUCCCCUGUGAAGUGCCAGAGCCUCGGGCAGAGGGUGUUGAGUGAUCGCAUGAGGCUCUUGGUUGUACUGGGUUCCUUGCACACACCAUCUGCUUUGGUGUCGUGACACUAAGAGGGAAAACAAACAGCAGCAUGGGUGGAGCCAGGAUUCAGCUGCUUCUCUCUGUUACUACAUCACAGCUUUAUCAUCUCAAGAUAGAAGUUUUCUUUUACUAAGUUUUUCAGAGAUGUAAAGGUAUUUGCUGAUCCACAGACAGAUGGUGGAGUGAUUAAUAAAGUUGAGGAGAAUCAAUUAGUUUUUAAAAAAAUACUCUUUUACAGCCUUUCCAGAAGAUUUUAUGUUCUGCAUGUAUGGGAGGUCAAUAGAUCCGAGAGUAACUGCCUUUGAAAGGAUGAGUUGUGCUAGGUGUGGUGCUUAUGCCCAACUCUACAGGUCAAGGCUGUAGGCUUCCAAGUUCCAGGUCAACCUAGGCUAUAUAGUGAAAUUCUGUUAGGAAAGGGGAAAAAUGUAAGGAAAGAAGGAAGUGGGGAGGAAGGAGACAGGAAGGGAGGAGGAAGGGAGGAGGAAGAGAGGGAGGAAGGAGGCAAAGAGGAAGGGAGGGAGGAAAGAAGGAAGGAAGGAAGGAAGGAAGGAAGGAAGGAAGGAAGGAAGGAAGGAAGGAAGAAGGGAAGGAAAAGAUAUUUGUAACAAAUAUCAAAUAACAAAGAGGAGAAGGCAUGCCACACUGGGUAAGAAUGCCUGGGAACAGUAGGUUAGGAGGAAGGAGGGUUAGGAGGUAGAAGGUAAGGAUCAGAUGGGAGCCAAAGCCUUCAUGGGAAUUUUCAUGGGAAGAGAUGAGAAGCAGUGUAAGCUACCGUUCUAGCCCAGAGUUAGGCGCUUGCAGAAUUUGGUGAGCUCUGGGCUACAGGGUAGACCAUUGUUCUGUGAUAUUCAACCCUGUGGUGAUUUGCAGUAGGGGACAGUAUCUCAGACUACAGUUGCUAAAGAAGUCAUGUAGAAGAAUUGAGUCUGAAUUAUUGGUUUGCACAUCAGGGACAUUCAAGGCAAGUCAUCAGCUGUGAGAAUUAGCCAGCAGUAUAACAGGCCUUCUCUCUUCUAGCCCUUGUAACUCUGAUGUGCCGGGCACCUGGAAAUACAGAAAAUAAAAGACAUGGUCAGGAUAGGAGGGUAUAAGAUCACUCUGCCCCUGCCUUUAUACGCUCUGUCAUGGUGACCCAAGCAGAAGCCGUGACUAGAAACAUUUUGUUUGGUUGGUUUUGGUUUUUCGAGACAGGGUUUCUCUGUGUAGCCCUGGAUAUCCUGGAACUCACUCUGUAGACCAGGCUGGCCUCGAACUCAGAAAUCCACCUGCCUUUGUCUUCCAAGUGCUGGGAUUAAAGACGUGUGCCACCAUUGCCCAGCGACUAGAAACAUUUUUAAUGGGGCAAUUUUGCUACUGUCUGAAGUAGACUGCGUAUCUGUUAUAAGCCAUGGGCUCAACCACAAGCUCCUCUGUGAACAGCCUCUCAUCAGGGCGACACUUUCUUAUACAUUCAGAAGUCGGAGCUGGUUACCUACCUUCUGAUUUGAUGCAGUUUGGUUUUCCUGUCUCUAGAAUGAAAUUGACCCUCCAUCCUAAGUUUGGAAGAAUAUUUUGUCACUGUGUCAAUGAGUGGAUAAAGAUGUUAACUGCCUUCCGAGUACUCUGUGGAACACCGUCUUUUCAAGCAUGGCCACCUUCACUAAAAUUAUUAAAGUUGCUCGACACAAGGGCACUAGAGAAUCUGUCUUUAGAGAAGGUUUCAGUAGUCUGAGUCCUAGCUAGCUCUUUUCUUCAAUCUCUCUUCCCCCUCCCUCUCCCCUUCUCUCUUCCCUUCCCCUCUCUCUCCCCUUUCCCUCCACCUCUUCCUCUCUCUCCCCCUUCCCCUCCCUACCCCCCUCUCUCUGUACGUGAGUGUGUGUGUGUGAUGUUCAUGUGGGAAGGAAGGGUUAUUUACCAGUGCAUAUAUGAAACUCAGAGGACAGACUGUGGUUUUGAUCCUCGCAUUCCACACAUUAGAAGCAGGGUCUCUUUGUUGUUUCUUGCUGCCUAUGCCAGGCUGGCUGGCCAAUUUGUGCUUCUAGGGCAGCAGUUCUCAACCUGUGGGUUAUGACCUAACUUAGGAUCAUAUAUCAGAUAUUCCUGUAUAUCAGGUAUUUAUAUUAUGGUUCAUAACAGUUAUAAAGUAGCAAGAAAAUUAUUUUACAUUUGGAGGGUCACAACAUGAGGUACUGUGUCAAAGAGUAGAAGCAUCAGGAAGGCUGGGAACCUUUGGUCUAGGGUCUCUCCUAUGUCUGGCUUCCCUGUCAUUAUAUGCAUACUGGGAUUAUCGGCAGGCUUCCAUUGGGGGAUCCAAAUUCAGGUCCUUAUACUUGUGUAGAAAGUACUUCACCCACUACACCAUCUUCCCAAACCUCCAGCUGUCUCUCACACGUUCCCAGGCCAUGAUUGAUGAGAGCCCUAUCUUGGAACUUGAGCCUGUAUCUGAUUCUGUGGUUGGAGAAAGGACUUUGCAGCCAGGUAGACCUAACUUCAAACCUUCCCUUCACUUCUUAGUUGAAUCUGUAUGGUGGAUAAAACUACUAAACUUAGAAUCUAGGAGCUUUGUUUCAAUAAACUGAGAUAUUAUCUGUCUUUUCCAGUAUAUGAUUAUUAGUCUAUACUAUGUAUAAGGCACUCUGCUAGUUACUGACUUUGUGCUAGGUCACAUUCAUAGCUAUUCUUCACCAUAUGUGGCUCCUUGGUCACAGGCUGGAAACUCUGUCAUUUAUUUGUUUAGACAGUGUCUUUCUGUGUAGGCCAGGCUGGCCAUCAACUUCCAAUCCUUUGAUUUCAGUCUCCUGAGCGCUAGGGUUACAGUACUCACUUAGAUCUCUUUGUCAGACCUUUGCUGCACACUGAACAUCGUUAACCGUCAAAACCACCUGUGGCUUAUGAAUGCCUGUAACCAUCAUCAGUAGAUCUGAAAAUGUUAUAGGAUGGGUGGUUAAUAGAGUCAAUUUAUGGACUUCCAGACAUUCUCUUUUCAUUUGGGAACACCAUGCACACCCUAGCUCAGAUGUACUUCAGUUUCAAAGAACCCCUCCCCAACCAUCGUUAGCCCUGAGGUCUCUGUUCCACCUUGCCACAGCUGAGGUUGCACUGAAACAGAGACCAAGGCCAUGGGUUGCAAAACUCUGUGUAAGCCAUAGCAUGGAUGAGGUAGUCCAUCAAGCAUGGCCUCCCAACAUGUGUCACCUAUCCUCCACUGUCCCAGGGUGUGACUUCUAGCUACUCUUAGGAAAGAAAAGUCAAGUCCCAUCGAAAACUACCGCUGUUCUCUGGGGGCUAUCACACAGCCGUUGCAGAGCCUCCACCUGCUAUAUCAGCAGAAAUAUCCUCAAGAGGAUCUGUGUCCUUAACAAUUCGGAGAAAAUCUCCGGGACAUAUGGUCUGAAUGAAGACAAAUAUAACUUAAAAAUCACGUGUUGACCGGUUUAAGGCAGUGGAAGGUGGAAACUUGGAGACUGAUUUUUGCCCUGGAAAUUUUGUUGUGUGCCAUCCCCUCUGAGCCCGAGGAGCCUGAGGCUUGCCUUCUGGGAGCACUCCAGUACGAGGAAACUAUAUUGAGUAACUAGUCUUAUGUGGUAGAUGCUGCUUGCUAGUUCACAGCUCCUAUCUAUUUGUGUUGCUAUUGUAUAAUUACACUUUGACAUUCCCCAUGUAACUGAACUUGCUCCUGAAUUGUAAGUUAUCUUCAACACCUCCUGUGAAGACACAUGACUGACAUUUUAAAUGCAAGUUAAGAUCCUUGCUGGGCCAGCAAUGGUGCUACUCAAUCUACCACCGUAUAGUGUCAACCCUUCAAAAGAUCUCCAUCGAUGGUGUCUCUUCUGCCUAUAUUUACCUGUCUGUCUCUCCAGAUAGAUGUUUGCAACAACACCACCCCCCGAAGACCUUACAGUCCCCUGGAGCCUGAGCAAUUCAUUGACUUUAAUCCAGCCACCCAAUAUGACAAGAGAUAACUGUCUCCUGAGCUCACAUUUGCUUCUAAUGACCCUGUCCCCUUCACUACAUGCCUGGAUGGAAGGAAGCCUACAUCAGAAACCACUUCAACACAGUCCAAACCUAACUACUGUGGUUUCAAAGGUCACAGGGAGGUUACUAAAAACAAAUUUGAUAGCUCAGAAGGCCUCCGACUGGGAAAAGCCCUAUAAACUUAAUGGCACUUAUGAAUUUAUGGGCUAUUGUUACUAAAUGAGUCAUCUUUAUACAAAAAGAAGCAAGGAACUGUGAUUUUAUUAGGGUGAUACGACAGUCUCGGUUUACAGAGAUGACUAUAACCUAUAAGUCUAAGUGGCUUGUGUCCCCAGAAAUUGCCCUCUUCUACAAAGUAAGGUGUCUUUCUUUUCUCCAAAUAUCUGUGCCGCUCACUUAACCCAUUUAUCUCAUUAAGAUCAGUUCCCGACUGUGAUAGGACAAAGUCUGGAAAACUGGUAGGAAGGCAACUCCAUGGAUUAGAAAGAUGCUGUCCAAUACUGACCAGCAAUGUCCCUUUCUGGUGCAUCUUCCUGCAGGCUCAAACUGAAGCCGAGCACCCUGCUUCCUCAGCUGCAAACACGGAGAGGCUGGGAUUGGUGGACGAUGCCCUUGGUGGGAUUGCACUUUUGCCCAGGCUUUUAAAGUCCAUCUGGCUCAAUAAAAGGUUGGCAAACAGCCCCUUGCCGAGAGGAAUUCAGUUAGCCUACCCCAUGCAGUAACUUAUCCGGAGGCAAAAACCAAGAUGCCAACAGAAGAUGGCUCCCUGCUUGUCAGAUUGCUGCUCCCUGGGAACUAGUUAAGUUGGGGUGUGGAGGCACUACAGGGCUCCCAUCAACACAGGUAGAGUUCUCUUUCUUGAGUAAUCUGUACUUUAGCAGCCUAGUUUUGUGUGCGCGCGCAUGUACAUGCAUGCAUGCAUGUGUGUGUGUAUAAAUAUUGGACAAAUAAGAGGGGAAGGAGGUAUGCGGACCUGGCAUUUCUUUAGACAGUAAGUGAAGUCUCUUUCUAGGUGAGCCAGGGCAUCAUCAUGAGUGACUGCAUUUGACAUAUAACUUGUCGCAGCCAUCUCUUCUGUCCAGACCUAGGCCCGGCUGGCGCAGAGGUCAUGCUCCCUGAGACCGCCCCCAAAGCACUGACAAGCUUGGCUUCUUCCUCCUACUUGAAGCAGCCAUGCUAUAUUCUAUGCCAAGCAGGCAGGACCCAGGGAACGAUCACAAUGCAUUCCUCACCCUUUGGAAUGGACAAUACAUGCCUCAUAGUCUCGGACACAGGGCCAAGGUCUCGCCUCUCUCUCUUUUUACCCAAACAAGCUUUUCUACCUGGUUCCCUCCCCAUGUCCAUGUCUGUUUCUCCAUAUUACUGGAUGGAAGUCUAACAGGUGAGCAUACCCACCAUGGAGACUGGUUUGAACUUCUCUCUGGACUUUGGCAAACAUAUGUAGCUUCCUUGAGACCCAAUUUCUUCAUCUAUCUGUCUUAUAGAUGUCGCAUCCCCACUGUGCCUGUUAUGAAAAAUGUGAAAUGUCCCCAAGGGGCUUCUGUGUGUGAAAAUUUGUUCUCUAGCAAAGGGGUGUGGCUUGAGAGGUUUUAGGAAGCGGGAGAAGGCAGACCCCUGGAAACAGGAUCUUAGAGGUAUCUAAUCCCCAUCUCUUCCAGUCAUGGUCUUUGUUUCCUGGCCUGCCACGAUAUGAACAGCCUGCUGAGUGGCCCAACCACAGUGGUGUCCCCACCACCAUGCCUUCCUUGUCCCUGUGGACUAAAAUAAAUUGAAAGCAUGAACCAGAGUCAAGCCUCCCUUUCUGGGGUUAUUUCUCAGGCCUCAGCAACAAUGAAAAUAACACAUAAAAUACCUUAUCAGCUAAAGCUGUGGGCGUGAAUGUUUACACGGAUGGUAAAUUGUAUGUAGUAUAAUUUGUGCAGUAGAGCAUCUGUUACAGAAUAGGUGUGUAAUAAAGUAUUAUUGAGAGAGGCCAUUUUCACCCUGAUGAUGAUGUAGCAUGUGAGGCAGAACCUAAAGGUCUUUUGGGAGUGAUGGCAACAAUCUCUUUUAUCUCAGAUGUCUUUGGUUAGGUCCUGAGAACACUGAAGAUCAAUGUUAGAUUUGAAACAAAGGUGGAAGGCCUUGAAUAUGUUCUCCAUUAGAAGAUCAGGAUGGUUCUUAUCCCUAUAGUUCCCCUGAAAACAAGACAGAAUGGCCCUUUAGAGCUUCCUUAAUGCUAGGAUACCACAGUAAUAGCUCUAAUAAUGUUACAGCCUGAGGUGUACUCAGCUUUCAGCUGAGCAAAUGGUAGAAACUAAACCCAUGGCCGGUAUUAUCUGUUUAUUAUAAGUACUCAUUUAUGAAAGUGGUCUCUUGCGAUGAGAUGUUGUCUGCUUUGGACACCUCACCAAAGAGUCUUGAAUCCUCGAAGCCCAGGUGAUCAUCAUGUGGACUGAAGCUGAAACUAUUCACUGUUGUGUAAUAUUGUUCUCAAAUGGAAUCACUUUAUAAAACCCUUCUCACCUUCUUUCCAUGCCUAGUCCCCAAUCACAUGUGUGUGAGUGCCCCAGAGCUAACACCCACCAUCUAGCAUGUGUGUCCCAGGGUGAAGCAGUGACACUAUUCAAGAAGGAUUGAGACUAUUUGAGAAUGAGGCCCUUUAUCAGUCUUUCAGAAGGCUCAAUUUAGCAUUUAUGGUUCAAUUAUGCAUUCCUCUGGGAAAUAUCCAUAAAACCUGAAUUCAGUCAGGUCUGCUUCUCUUUGUGUCUGCUUCUAAAAAUUAAUGCAUUCAUCAAGCCAUAACAAGAGGCUGCUCUGCUCCACAUGAAGCAUGUCUCACAAGAUGCAACACCAAAUUACCAUGCAGUAAUGGACCUCUCUGUACUGACACAAUGACCCACAGACACAAGAGUGAGGAAAAGACUCUGCCCAGAGCAAGGGGUACAGACAGUGACACUUUGUUGAGUGUGGUAAUUACGACUGUAAACAGAUGCAGUGCACAUGCAGAACUUAGAGAAACCCCUCACAUGCAUUACUCCCUGUGAGUCGUAUAAGAACCCCAAGAGAUUGGCAAAGUCAGCAUUAUUAUUGUUCUCAUUAGUUAUUGUUUUCUCAAUGGUUCAGCUUGCCUGUUAACGUGAGUGGAUUUAGAAUCAGUUAGAUUAAUAAAGGAUACAGUUGGAUGGAUCUAUGGAGAGGUUUCCAGAAACUAUUAACUAAUAAGGGAAGCUCUGCUCUGCCUGUGGGUGUCAUUGUCCCAUGGGCUGGCAACAAAGAGCGUUGGGGAGGAAGCCCAGGCACUCAGUACUUUAUAUGCGUCCUGACAGUCAUGUGGUGGGUGGUUUUUCUCCAUGUGCCCUCGUGGCCAUGGUGGUUUGGAAGCUCUGUAACCACAACAUAGGUAUAUCUAUCCCUUCCCUACUUUGUUCAUAUCAGGUAUUUUGUCACAAGGAUGAAAUAUUAGAUUAACAUAAUUAUAACUGAUUGUCCCAAACAUCCUUACAUAUGCUCUCCUCUCAAAGUUUCCAUUAGCAUUGAGGGAGUUAAAAAAGGACCUGAACUCCAGUCAUCAAAUUUAGAUCCUAGUGCCAAUCAUAAUCUGCCCCUAAACCCUAAUGUUAGAACCCUGAAAGGUUAAACCCCUUAACGUCUGAAAGUCCCCCCAAAUCACAAUCCCCAAAUACUGAAAUGCCAAGUGUUGAAAUAUCAGACAGCAUGUUCAUGAAAACGAGAGUUUAUGUUGGAAAUGGUUGUCUAAGCAGAUUGGGGGUGGGGGGCAAACCCUGGAGAAGGGACCAGUGUGUGAUAAUGCUCUGGGGCUGACAAUUACAUCUUGUUGGUAACACAUAUCUAGAAGGCUGGAAAACAACCAUUCUUAGAGUACUAAUUCACUUUACACAUUUUUUGUUGUUGUUGAAAAUUUGAUUGGGUCAAAGGUGAUCACCCAAGAAGUCACUAAGUGUACAAUAGUGUUCAUGUGCAGAAAGAUAUUGAGACCUCCCCAGUAAAUAGGGAGAAGGUGCCAUUGCUUUUUUUUUUUUUUUUUUUUUUAUGUUUGCCUUUGUGAAAGAUAAAAAUUCUUAAGAUCUGGUGCUGGAGAGAUGGCUCAAUGGUAAAGAGCUCUUUCAGAGGGUCUAGGUUGAGUUCACAGUACCAUGUUGAGAUCACAACUUCCUAUUAUCUCCAGCUGUAGGGGAUGCAGUGCCCACUUCUUGCACUCAUAUGUGCGCACACAAGCACACAUGAGCACACACACACACACACACACACACACACACAAAUAUAUCCAUUAUUUUAAAAAUAAAAUAAAUUUAAAAAAAACUUGCAAGAUCUCAGCUCUCUUACACUAUGAAGGCUGUAGUAGCUUACAGGCAUGAGAAAUAUGUCCUCAUAGAACAAUAUAUAUAUAUAUAUAUAUGUACGUAUAUAUAUGUAUGUAUGUAUAUAUACAUAUAUAUACAUAUUGUGUAUUUAUUCUUUUAAGUUUUAUUUUAUGCGUGUGACUAUCUUGCAUUCAUGCAAGCAUGUGUACCAUAUAUGUUCCUGGUACCCUCAAAGGUCAGAAGAGGGUGUUAGAUGUCCUGGAACUGAAGUUAUCGGUAGCCCUGAGCUGCCAUGUUAGUACUGGGAAGCAAAACUGAGGCCUCUGCAAGAGCAGCCAGUGGUCUUCAUGGCUGAGCCAUUUCUCCAGCCUCUGUUGUAUAGUUCAAAGUAAUGAAAAGAAGGGCUCUCUAAUGCUUCACUACAAAGAAACAAUAAAUAGAUGUUGAUUUGAUCGUUAUAUAAUGGAUACAUAUCACAGUGUGCCCUAUAAAUUUGCUCAGUUACUACUUACUGACUAAUAAUAAAAUUUUCAAAACCUCAAAAAAUAAUUUAACUUUGAAAAAAUAAGAUUAUGAGACUAAGAAGUAGGCUCGGUGGUAGAGCAUUUGCUUAAUAUUCCUAAGGCCCUGGGUUCUAUACACAGGGCUACAAGAGAAAUCAAACUCAAAAAAAAAAAAGAAAAAAUAAUAUGUGAUAUUGUUCAUAUGAUUAAAUACAGUUAUGGGAGAUAAGUAUCUAACAUGUGCCAAGGCUGAGCAGGUCCCAAAGAAUUCCAUCAUCACAAAACAGUAAAAUAAUAAUAUGAGCAGGUUUCUACCAGAAACAGUUGUGGAAGAGAAAAUUGGUUUUAAAGAAAUCGGCUGUGUUUAUGUAAAUGCAAUUAUAAUUUGUAACAAGCCUCCUCUAGCUCUUGGUAACUCGGAGCCUUGUCUUGCACUGCUGUGUCAGCACUAGAAACUGGUCCAAGUUCUUGAAGAUUUUAAAUUAUUGAGGCCAUUUUUCUUUCACACUAUCGUAGAAUCUGUAGACUUCCCUUGCCGGAAGUAUUUGAUGUUGUAUAAACUUCUGUAAUAUCAUGAAGAAGUUUAAACCAUGAAGAAGAAGGGCUGAAGGCUCUGGUCACAUGCAACAUCCCAUUACCCAGUCCCACGUGGUCCACUGUGGCUUAGCUGUGUCAUCCACUCAACUACUUCCACAUUCCAAUUGUUGUGUAACCAUAAGGUACCUGAUCAUUUAAUUCCCAGAUUCUCUCUAGUGUAGUGGGUACACAAAUUUAAAAAUAUAUAUAUAUAUAAAUUUCACUAUCCAAGAGGACAUGCAGAUAGAAUCAGAUCAGAAUGCCCUGUAUGAGACACUCGCUGUUCCGUGCAUCCGCUGGGCAUGAACUCUGGGCAUAAUCCCCAAAGGCAGUGUCAGGCCACGGAGAUCCUGCUGCUCUGCCCAGCAGUUUAUAGGAGCCAUUCCAGCUCAGAUGUUUUUCAACUGUUGGUUUUGAUUGCUGUUGCUUUGAUUACCUUCAUAAUCCAAUAUUCAGCCAUUAAACAGUUGAGAAUUCAACCCCAAAGCUUGUGUACCCCCCUGGAUCUGAUGAUCAGUUGCUGUAGAAAUGGAGGGUUGCAGCUCAGAGCCUGGUGGGAAAGAUCUGAUGUGUUUGUAUGGUGUAUGCUUCCCCUACUCCACUGCUGUGCAAUCUACUCCAUCAACAGAAUCCUCUUUCUAAACUCUUCACCUGUACAGCCUGUCUUGUCCACCCUUGUACUUCCCUUGCAAGUAUGUUACUGCCCUCUCACCCACUGGUAGCAUCUAUUGAACAUAUCUUGGCCAAGAUACUGCCCACUCCAUCAGCCUUCCUGCCUGAGCUUUUCCCUAUCAGGCACAUCAUCCAGGUAAUGACCUCAUCCCCCAUUAUAUUUUGGUUUUAGAGAAGGUAUCCAAGGUCCUUUGUGUCUGGUUCCAACUACAAAACCACAAAGCUGAACACACAGACUGGUGGGAAUUCUUGCAGAUAGCACAACAGCUCUAGUUCUGCAUAGCCUAAAAUGCCUGCACCACACUCAAGAAGCUUCCAAGCAGAUUCAACCUGUCAAUCAGUUCACCUCAGCGUCAAGAGCAUCCUCACUCCCCUACCCUCGCCCAGCAAACGGGACUUCAAGAAGCACAGCCACCAGUAAAAGCUGCAAAAACUCCAGGAAGGGGUGUGUGAGGGAAAGUCAUGCUUGGCAUCAAGAGCGAGCCAAGCAGUUGGGGGCACCCUGGGUUGCUUGGGCUGCCGGGAAGGAUGGUUUUUUCAGAGAGUACUCUCAUAGAGCACGUAUUGUUCUCAUUGAUUUUCAUUCUUUAGUUUCAUGUAAUUACUGUUUCUUUUAUCUCCUUUCUUUGGCUUUCUCUCUUUUCCUUGGCAUAUAUUAUAAACAUAUGUGUUCAUUUUUCUGGAAAUCUGUAGCCCUUGCUAAGUUUUAUUAAGGGGUUCAUUUGAAGAAACAAACUCCCAGUUAGUGAGAUGCAGGACUGGGGAUUCCGGGAAGGUGGAAGCUGAUGUCCAGAGUAUGUUUUAUUACUCGGGUCUCCCUCUCACCUCAUUUGCCUUUAAAACUAAAUAUGUGACAAACUGAGCUAUCUCGGUGAGGAAUGGGUGCUCACAAAAGGCUAAUUACUUUGGUUUCCUCUUGUCUUUAAAAAAAAAAAAUUCCCUUUCCCAAAAUAGCUGAUAAAUGGUUCUUUGUAGGGAUGACCGGGCGCAGCUUCCCCUGCCGUUAAACGCCCGUUUGACAUCUUAGUGGGCGUUAGGGUUGCAUAUCAGAUCCAGACCUCAAGCUGGGAUGCUUGUGUGUGAGGGUCUCAGAAGGUUAGGAGCUAGAGGACACAAGCUGAUCCUAACAGGAAAUGUUUACCUUACAAUAUUUUAGAUUUAUAAUCUUCCGAGUUCAAAUGCUCCGAAGUCAGAAGAGGGGGCUGUGAACACUCUGUGGUAUCCUCAUUGCACAGCCACAUGUGCCAUUUUGGUUGACUUUACCCAAACUCCCCUUCACUUGGUGCUUUUUGGAUUUUACCAUAGAAGUUACAAAAUUCUGAGUUCCUGAGACCCCUCUCCUCCCACCCCCUUUUGCCCGAACUCAAUCCCGUGACCCUAAAUUGCUUCACAUCUCUGACUUUGCCGCCAACCUCCCAUUGUUCAGUUGAUCUCUACUAGAUAUCCAGAAGAAAGCAGCCUUAUUAAACGGUCAUCAUAAUGAAUGGAUGGAUGAUUGAUUGAGCCUUCCCAAGAGAAUUUUGAUUUAAUAGUGUUGUUCUCAUAAACCUGUGUCUACUGGACAGAAUCUCAGGUACCUACAUCAACAUUUACUGAAGGCUUAUUAAAAGUUGGUUGUGGUCCUUAGUGCUUUGUGGCAGUCACAGAAUUAAAUAAGUAACUAUGCAAAACAGGGAAGAACUCUUUUCUAACACCUCAGUCUUUCGUCCCUCACUUUAUCCUAGCCACCAACUCCCACUUCAUCCAGGUAUCUGCUUAUAUAUACACCGUAUCCAAUCUUCCCACCAAACCUCGUUCUCACGUGUCCCACACUUGGAGAAGAUGCCAAUUAAGUAAAGCAUUUUGCACCAUAGAGUGGUUCUCUCUGCUCUAUUAUCACCUUACUCUGAACCACUGCACCCAGACCUCACUCUUCCACCUCCAAAGGAUUAAGCUCCACGACAAAAGUAAUUUGAUGCUUGUGGGUUUUUUUUUUCCCCUUACCAUUCGCAUCUCUUCAUCUCCUAAUUUGAAAAUGUUUUCUAAUCCAAAGCAGCUCUUCCUUCUAAACUUGGCUUCCCCGUGAAGUUCUUUCAUAUGGUGGAAAUUACCAUACUUUAUUGGAAUGUAUGAGGAAAAAUGUUUCCAUUUUCUCUCUUUCUUUCUUUACAAUAAAUUCACCUUUUUGUUUUGUUUCCAGACAAGGGUUUGUGUGUGUGUGUGUGUGUGUGUGUGUGUGUGUGUGUGUGUGUGUGUGUGUAGCCCUGGCUGAUCUGGAACUUGCUCAGUAGACCAGGCUGCCCUCAAAAGUCUCCCAAGGACUGGGAUUAAAAGCAUGUGACACUGCACCGCUAUAAUAAUUCAUCUUAUGCCAAGUUUUUUUCCCUAUGUUCUGUGAAUGAGCAGGGUUUGCACAGGGGCUCCUAUUAAAGUAAACUAUGUACUUGUUUGUUUGUUUGUUGGACAGGGUUUAAGUAUUUUAUUUAGUUUACAGUCUCAUCAACAUUUGUUUUCUUUUUUCUUGGAUAUUUUCUUUAUUUACAUUUCAAAUGUUUUCCCCUUUCCAGUUCUCCUCUUUGGAAACCCCUCAUCCCAUCCCCCUUCCCUCUGCCUCUAUGAGGGUGCUCCUCUACCCACUCACCCAUCCUCUCGCCCUGGCAUUCCCCUAUACUGGGGCAUUGAACACAUUCAGGCCCAAGGGCCUCUCCUCCCACUGAUGUCCAACAAGGCCAUCUUCUGCCACAUAUGUGACCAGCGCCAUGGGUCACUCCAUGUGUAUUCUUUGGUUGGUAGUACAGUCCCCAAGAGCCUUGGGGAGGGGGGUCCUGACCUGUUGACACCGUUGCUCCCUCCAUGGGGGCUGCAAACCCCCUCAGCUCAUUCAAUCCCUUCUCCAUCUCCUCAAUCGGGGACCUCCAAACUCAGUCCAAUGGUUGGCUGCAAGCUUCCUCCUCUAUAUUGGUCAGGCUCUGGCAGAACCUCUCAAGAGACAGCCAUAUCAGUCUUCUAUUAGCAAGCUCUUCCGGGCAUCCACAAUAGCAUCCUGGUUUGGUGGCUAUAUAUUAGAUGGAUCCCCAGGUGGAGCAGUCUCUGGAUGGCCUUUCCUUCAGUCUCUGCUCCACAGUUUGUCUCCAUAUUUCCUCCUGUGAGCAUUUUGUUCCCCCUUCUAAAAAGUACUGAAGCAUCCACACUUUGGUCUUCCUUCUUCUUAGGCUUCAUAAGGUCUGUGAAUUGAAUCUUAGAUAUUCCCAACUUUUUGGCUAGUAUCCAUGUAUCAGUGAGUACAUACCAUGUUUUUUCCUUUGUGACUGAGUCACCUCACUCAGGAUGAUAUUCUCAAGAUCCAUCUAUUUGCCUACGAAUUUCAUGAAGUCAUUGCUUUUAAUACCUGAGUAGUACUCUAUUGUGUAAAUGUACCUCAUUUUCUGUAUCCAUUCCUCUGUUGUGGGACAUCUGGGUUGCUUCCAGCUUCCAGCUAUUAUAAAUAAGGCUGCUAUGAACAUAGUACAGCAUGUGUCCUUAUUACAAGUUGGAACAUCUUCUGGGUAUAUGCCCAGGAGUGGUAUUACUGGAUCUUCCAGUAGUACUAUGCCCAAUUUUCUGAGGAACUGCCAAACUGAUUUCCAGGGUGUUUGUACCAGCUUGCAAUCCCACCAGCAAUGGAGGAGUUUCCCUUUUUCUCCACAUCCUCACCAACAUCUGCUGUCACCUGAGUUUUAGCCAUUCUGACUGCUGUGAGGUAGAAUCUUAGGGUAGUUUUGAUUUGUAUUUCCCUGAUGGCUAAGGAUACUGAACAUUUCUUUAGGUGUUUCUGAGCCCUUUGAGUUUCCUUGGUUGAGAAUUCUGUUUAGCUCUGUUCCCCAUUUUUUAAUAGGGUGAGUUCUUUGUAUACAUUGAAUAUUAGCCCUCUAUCAGAAGUAGGAUUGGAAAAGAUCUUUUACCAAUCUGUUGGUUGCUGUUUUGUCCCAUUGACAGUGUCCUUUGCCUUACAAAAGCUUUUCAGUCUUAUGAGGUCCCAUUUGUCAAUUCUUGAUCUUAGAGCACAAGCCAUUGGUGUUCUGUUCAGGAAUGUUUCCCCUGUGCCCAUGUGUUUGAGGUUUUCCCCAAUUUCUCUUCUAUUAGAUUCAGUGUAUCUGGUUUUAUAUGAAGGUCCUUGAUCCACUUGGACUUGAGCUUCUAGUUUUGUUUUUAACAUUUAUAAGUCCUUUUUUUUUUAACAAUAAAGAAAUGUUUUUAAUGGAAGUAUUAUAGAUGUUACAACCUAGACAAUUUUAAACAUUUCAUUGUAGAAAUUGGUAAAUAGAAAAACAAAUCUAAGCUUUUAAAGUAAAAUUGAUUGUAUAAUUUCCUUUUUCUAAGUAGCCUUCAAGUGUUUCAAAUGUAUAAUAGUGGUAACUAGAUUCUAAGACUGUACACUCUCUUCCUGUUGUCCCUCCCUGUCUGUCCAUCACUCACAUCAUCUCCCCUGAUCAUGCUGCUCUAUUGCUCUGGACCAUGCCUCACUCAUAGAGCCCUUGGCAGCUACAGUAAACAGAGAAAGUGGAAGAUAGGAAAGAGAGGGAGGGAAAGGAAGCGGGAGAGAAUGAGUGAACAUGUGUCAGGCAGUCAGUGGCGCUGGGCUUUGCUUUGGCUAUUUUAUGUUUUCUAUAGUUAAGUCGAUGUUCUCGUUCAAGUGGCCUAUAUCUUUGUAAAAAUGUGUUUUUACUUAUUAUUUGAGAAAUUUAUACGUGUAUAUAAUGCACUUUGACAAUACCCACCACUGUUCUCCUCCUAUGAUUCUUCUCAGACCCGUCACCAAGUAUCUGCCCCCCACAUCCAGGUCCUUUAACAAAAAGACAUGCCACUGAGUCCAACUGGUAUUUCCUCGGUGUGCACAGACACAGAGCAAGGGCCACGACCCUGAAGGAAACGGACUCCCCUUGAGUAGUCAUCUACUGCCAUUAGGUCCUCAGACACAGAGCUUCGCAAGCUCCUCCCCCAUCCAUAGUGGAAUUUUGACUGACUGGGUCUUAUGCAGCUCUUCUGUGGGCAACUGCACCUGCUGUACGUUAUUGAGCACAAAGGCACUGUCCAGAAGACACUGCUCUGUAGCAGUUCAAUGUGACCUCUGGGUCUCGCAGUCUUUCUACCACAUCUUCUGCAGUGGUCCCUGCCUUGGCAGAAGAGGAUGUGAUAUAGUUGUCCACCUAAGACUGUGCACUCUGCUAUUGCUUAGUCUUUGCACCUUGGCCAGUUGUGAGCCUCUGUAGUAACCUCAUUCCGUGCAUAAGAAGCAUCUCUGACGCGGGCUUUAAACGCACUAAUCUGUGGAUGUAAAGAUGAAUAUUUAGAAGACAUCGUACCAGGCAUGAUCUCCAUGCUACUUUUAUGUUUAAUUAGCUUAUAAGGUUGCAUGUUCCCUUGUUGAUUUUCAUUCACACUUGGUUUUAAUUGUUCCUCUCUUUCCCCUCCCCCUCAUUUCCCUCUCUCCCAUUCCUGCUUUACCCGCCCUCCCCUUCCAAUCCUGUAGAUUCAAGUCAGACUGUAUCACCCUCGAAUUUGCACGUAACUAGCUUGUGAAAACACGAGCUCUGAACAUGUCUUCUUAGCAAAUGGUGAGGCUUCGGUCAUGGUACCUGUUGCUUCUGUACAGAACAUCAUGGUAGGAAAUAUGUGCCAGAGAGAAGCAGCUUACCUCACAGAAGGCAAGAGACAAAGUAAGAGCACAGGGAAAAGACCAAGGGCAAGAGCACACCCCCUUUAACCAAGCCCUACUUCCCGAGUGUCAAUUACUCCACAACAGACCAUCAAAUUAGGAAUCAAUCAAUGGGCUAAUCUAUCAUUAAGGUCCCAGCCCUCAUGUCCAGUCACUUCUUAUGAGCCCCACUUAGGAGCAUAGCUGACCUAUGGACCAAGCCUUAGCCUUUGGGAGGAUUUCCAGGUCCAGACCACAACGUUUGCGUUGGUCCAUCAGUGACACUCGUUUCAGUUUUUAUCAGAGAACAGCUACUGAAGAAUCACCAACAUCGAUUAUUUUUUUAAUUUUUUGAAACUGACUUAACUUUGAAAGGGGAUUAUCUAGAGUGGGGAAGGGAGGGUGUCCCCGACAUUACUGUCAUUUUAUGUUAACAAAUUUAACAUGCACAGUUAAAACAAUAUAUUUUACUACAACCUUUAGAGUAAGUAUUACCUUAACGUUACAGCUGUUUCCACCUUUCUUAUAUCGUCAGGGACUAGUGAAAACUGUCUCAUGGGACCCCAGCACAGUAUCAAGGAACCACCUGACCCUGCAGCUGGAGGGCAGGGUCUCUUGAGGACCCUGGUAUAACCUGGAAAACCUCUUCCAGGGAAAUAGGCAUGAAGAGCCAAGCUUCUGUGAAGACUGUCAGGCUGUCCCUGGCUAAGAUACGACCCUGUGUGGCAGAACCAGCUGCAUGGCUAGAGAUGGGCCAGUGGAUUCAGUAGACUCUGUCAUCGACUGCACCCAGGUGCAGAGCUCACUGCCCCUCCCUACAGGAACUAGCAGUAGAACUCACAUUGUAAUUGGUAUGACCCGAGUCUAAGUGCUUAACGCCCCCAGCAUAUCACAGAGUGGCCAAUUGACGCUUUCCCAGAACUACAGAAACACAAAUCACUAACACCAUUCUCUGUCUACACAGCAGUUGGGGAGCCGAGGUUAAGUUGGAGGCCCUAGAGACAGAGAGCCUCUGGGGACAAAGAACAAUAGGAAUGUACUUUGACACCAGAGGAUAAUACAGCCACAGAUCACUUAAGACGUUUUGAAUAGAUACAACUGACUAAAAGAGACAAUUUCCUCCCCUCCUACUACUUAGCCUGGGGUGAGGACAAAACCCAGCAAACCAGUCCCAUUAACCCUAAUAAAACUAAUCCAUUAAUGUGUGAAUGAGCAUAAUUCUACAUAAGAGUUCACGGUAAUAUAUGCCUGAGAAGUUUGAGCUAAUAUACACAUAAAUAAUAGUACAUAAAAGGUAUUUUUGUUUCUGUACAAUUUAACUAAUUCCUAUGAGAAAAGCUGAAAUUCCUUACAACCUCCCAAAACUUUUUCAGAUUCCCCAAAGGCUAAGAGCUCUACAUAUGGUUAACACAGUCCAAGGCUGGGCCAAAAUGCAAGUAUAAUGAACGAUAUAGGGAAACUGAUAACACUAAGUAAUAAAUAAUUAAUGCUUUCCCAAAUUGCAAUAAUGUUUUCUUCACACCGCUUGUAUGAGAAAGUGCACAAUUAAUAGAGACAAAUAAAUGUUAGGGAUUUAAUAUGUAUUGACUUUUUUUUAAAAAAAACACAUUUAUUUUAUUGUUUUCAGUUGUGCAUAUAUGUGUGUCUCUGUGUGGGGGGUUGUAUAUGUGUGUCUCUGUGUGGGGGGUUGUAUAUGUGUGUCUCUGUGUGGGGGGUUGUAUAUGUGUGUCUCUGUGUGGGGGGUUGGGCAGGUGCCAGAUGGGAAUUGAUGGGUUUGUGAGGCACCUCACACGGAUGCGGGGAACCAGGCUCACAUGCCCUGUCAGAAGAAUGUAUGCUCUUAACCACUGAGCCAUCAUCCCCCAUCCCCAUAGUAUCAUUUCUUGUUCAAACUGGGCCAUCCUCCCACACAUCCCCCUUAGGUAAGUGGUAUAACAUCUCAGCAAGCCAGCAGAGAAAUGGCACAUAGUCCUUUCUUCUAACAGGGGCCUGAGCCUCUGCUUUUUACUGGAAAUCAAAUCGGAAAGGUCGAUUUCAUGACAUUGUCCCCCAUUCCUGCUAAGGCAUCUGCAUAUUGACACUCUAAAAGAUGACCCGAAAAAGCACGCUGUUGGGUGGGUUAAAAUAAACGUCUAGUGCAGGGUGACAUAUAGAGAAACAUUGCGAUAGAGUAGCUAUUUGGGCUGGAAGAGAACUUUCCUAGUGCAGUCUUGCUGGAAUCACCUGCUUGCUUCUUCACAAAUACUGAGAACCUAUGUGAGCCAUGUUCAGCCAGACCCUUGGUCUUAGGCUCUAGAACUCACAGGUGCAAAUGCACAUCUUCCCAUUCCAAGUGGCCACAGUUGCCUGCCGCCAUAGUCAAUUGUUAGAGAAACUGGGCAGAAGCACAUAGCUUCCCACCAACUCCUAGAGCAGUUUUCCCUGCUAAGAUGAAUCCCCUCUGCCUCAGGUGACCAGAGCCAGGCAACUCUGACUUUGUCUUCUGAAAGCAUAUAUGUUGUUUCCAACCCCUGCUGUUGUGGUCCACGUGCAAAAGAUAGACCUGUCAGAUGGCACUGCUCACCACACACACACACACACACACACACACACAUAAGCACAUAGUCACACAGACACUCACAUAUACACCUUCUUCUGGCGAUGUUAGCAAGGGAAACUGGGAGCUAGGACUAUGGUCACCACUAAGCCAUUAUAUGGGUAAGAAAGCAUUACAACUCCCUCUUUUUAUUUAUUCAGACCUUGGUUCUGUGCCAGCGGACAUCCAGAGGAGCAAAGUACAUUUCUGUCUUCUUUCAUGACAUACUGCUUCUUUGUUUCAUAAAGUUAAGCACGGUUAGGCCAUGCUUAUGUAUGCUUAUGUAUGUAUGCUUGUUUAUGGAGCUUUUUGAAUGUUGGUAUGUAUUUACAUAUUUGUGGUGGAGUGCAUAUGUGUCCGUGGAGUGCAUGUGCAAGUGUGUGCAAGAAGUCAGAUGUCAGCCUUUAGUGUUGUUCCUCUGGUACCCUCCACCUUGGCUAACCCAAAGCUUGCUAAUUUGACUACAAUGGCUGACCAGGAAACCCAGAGACUCACCUCUCUCCACCACCUGAGGGCUGUGAUUACAAGCACAUACCAUAAUAACAGGAUUUUUUAAAAGAAGGUGGCUUCUGAGGGUUCAGCACAGGUCCCCAUGCUUAUGCUACAAGAACUGUAUUGGCUGGGCCAUUUCCCAGAUACUAUUUAGCAUUUGAUUGUGGUCAUUUCUUCAGGACGUUUUCCUACUUAAGUUGGAGGACUCAAGUGGCUCCCUACCUAUCUUGGUCUUGGAAAUCUCAUUUAAAAAGUGCCAACGCCUAUAUGACGGCCUCCACCCUGAAAGUCUCACAGCUGGAGGAAAGGCAACCACUGUCCAACAAGACACAGCGACAGGUUUAAAGAAGCACAGCUCCCAGGAGUCCCCUGACUGGGUGGAAGUGGCAUUCCCUCUCCUGCAAGUUAGGCAGCAUGGAUGAAAUGUUUAUAAGCAACAUAGUAGUCCCCAUAUGCGUGGGAGCAUUGAUAGGAGCUAGUCCAACUACUGCAGCCUUGUAUUCUUAACUUGCCUCUGCCAGCAAUGCAACAAAUGAACUAUCUCCUCCAUGCUCAAAAUAGACACGGUUUUCUGAGGCCCAAAGUUCACCAGCUGGUCCCAAUAAAGUGCCUUUAAAAUUCCUGCAAGAAGAUUAUGCUUUGUGAUUGUGCAAGAAUAUAUAUUGUCCCAAGCCUGUUCAGAUGACCAUAGCAAUGUAAGGUGGAGGGACUUGUGAUAGUGUUUGCAUGACUUGUGAUAGGGUUUUACAAGGAGAAAUAUUUCAGACGCUACAGGAAGUGACCAUAACAACAAGUCAUUUAAACAGCUCCAUGAAGGGAGAGUGGAGCUGGGGACACGCAUUCUUUCAGCGAGGCUGUAGCUAGGGAAAACGCCAAUAUAAAAACAACCUAUUUUUAGGGGCUCAAUAUCUCUUCUGUAAAUGCUUGUGAGUCAUAUUUUACAAGGGCAACACACUCAGCCACUGUUGUACCCCAGCUCCCAGCCACCUUAGGAGAAACAAAGAGGAUUCCGUCAGUGAGCGCUUCCUGGCAAAAUUGCUUGUGAGCUUUUGAUUGCAAAAUCAUUAUGUUUGGCACUGAGUUAAGUAGCAGGAAGAACCUGACUUGAUUUUUCAAAUCCCUCGGCUGAUACAAUGCUGCUCUUAAGCUUUUAAACUGCUCAGUUAGGCUCAAAAGUCUCAGGGAAGCUGUAAAAUGUCUAUUUUAGAUUCUUAGUUUUUAGUGUGCUUCCCAAGCCCCGGCAGGAUUUUAAUGGCAUAUCUGUAACAGGAGACCCCCACGCUCAUAUCUGGGCCGUGGUGUCUUCUCUGCUGAGGCCAAUAGAUAAUCCUCAGGGGUUAGAAUACAUAGUCUGGAGAACACAUGCCAGCUGGGAGUCUGUGAAACCCCCAGGCGAGCCUGUGUGAUGGGAUACUAUGCAGAUGGCAGAGAACUCUGACCCAUGUUCAGCUGAACCCUGGUGGCUUCCCAAAGAACUGCAGGGAGGGCCUUUAAAUGACACUAUGUGCUUCAAGUAUAGGACAUAGGAUCUUUGUUUUAGUUGACAUUGUUUUAUUAUUAUCUUUCUCUUAAACUGGUAAACACAAUAACGGGCCUUACAUAAGCUCUGCAUACAUUGCUUUUUAUUGCUUCUCGUCCCUUCUCCCUUCUUUGGGACCCUGCCCACCCCUGCCCCUGCCCCUGCCCCUGCCCCUGCCCCUGCCCCUGCCCCUGCCCCUGCCCCUACCCCUGCCCCUGCCCCUGCCCCUGCCCCCACCCCCUACCAAUUCUCCUUCCUUUUCCAAGUCUAUAAAUUCUGUUAUAUUUUUUCUUACCACCCCCUACCUCUAGCUAAAGACAUCUGGUUCCUUUUCUAGUUCUCUCUCUCUCUCAAAUGCAGGAGCCACAUAUGAAAAAAAAUAUGCAGUAUUCAUCAUUUUAGAUCUGAGAUAUUUCACUUAAUAUAGUAGUGCCCACUUCUACUCAUUUUGCUGCAAAUAUUAUAAUGUCAUUUUUUCUUUCACAGCUAAACAAAAUUCCAUUGUGUGUAGGUAUCAUAAGACUUUUUCUCCAUUCAUCUGUUGUUAGACAUUCCUUUACUGUAAUGCAAUAGUGAGCAAGGCAUGCUGGCUUAUCUGUCGUAAAACAUAUAGGCCUCUGGGUGAUACCCAGGAGCAGUACAGCUGGGCCACUUCGUGGUUAUGUGUUUAGUGUUUUGAGACUUCUAUUCUGAUUUCCACAGUGAUUUAACUAUUUUGCAGCCCCACUAGUCGUAAGUCAGGGUUCUGCUUUCUGGACAUCCUCACCAGAUGUGGUCUUUUGCGGUGCCGUAGAAAGAACAUUAGCAUCAUCACAGUUAAAUUUAAAUAAAUAAACUUAAAUUUGGGAUAUGUCCAUUAUACGCUCUGAGCCUUAAUUUCCAUAUCUGUGAACUAUCCAGAGAUAAUAAGAUCAACCCAACAUCAUCACCAAGAGAAGGAUGAGCAUGGGAAACCUCUGCCUUCUACUGAUGAGGUCAGCUUGAGCCCACAAUCCUGCCAGGGCCUCACCAGUGGUGGGAACACAGACUAGAAUCACAGCUCCAGACUCUUGCCUCGGUCUUGAAGUGCCAAAAAGUGACUUUCAUCUAUAUCCAGUAGUUAUUCAAGUACAACACAUACUCACCAUAGCACUCAGGAGACAGCCCAAUGUGCUGUUAUAUCAAAAUAAUUAAAAGAACAUAUUUAUUUUGAGGAAUGGAAAUAUUCAUUGACUGCAUGAUGCAUCUCCCUUUCCUAUGUAUAAAUCAUACUGUCUGCUAGUGUUACUGUGAAAAAUGCUGUCAGGGAAAGAGGAAAUAUGCAUUUCUUCUCUUAAUACAAUGUCAGGGCUAUAUCAGCCACCUCGCUUCUGCAGGCUUCUUACUGCCUGCCUCAGGAUGCAGCCUACAUUGAGGAGUCACAGAAUGGACUGAGUCUUAGAUGAUGAACUCAGUCAACCAUCCCUGAGUCAACUACAGCUGAGCUCUGACUCUGGUCAUGAGAUGGUCAUUUCCUCAUUGUUUGACAUUGGGCAUUCUGAAGCCGACCUCUAAAAGCAUGCAGAUAGCAUCCAAUGACACUUGUGUAGGUGCACAUGUUAGUUGCUGUUGUACAGCUGUGACAAAACACUUGUAGGAGAGACAAUGGAUUUUGCCUCAAGGGGUCAGAGCAUUCAGUCCAUGGUCCCUGGCUCCAUGUUUUGAGGCCUCAACCUAACUGUGCUGUGAGUUUUCACUAUGCCACAUUGGACAUCAUAAUAGUCUAGACCCUACCUACUUCAUGGAGUUAGGUACUAAGUACGUUAAUUCGUGCAAGUCACUUAGUGUCUUUCCCUAAGGGAAGAGUGUCAUCAGUGUCAGCUACUGCUUAAUCCAGGAGGGAGGUCAUCACACUGGAUAAAGGCAUAGAUUCUGCAGCCUAUGCAGGCUAGGAAUCCUCUCUACAUGUACUACUGAGUAAUCUCUAGUUGCUGCAUAACCUACCAUGUCUCUGACUCCUCAACUACAAAACAGAGGUAAUAAUAGUGGCAUCUGGUUCCCAGAGCUAGAAUUAUUAAAUUGAUCAACACAGAAGAGUGUCUGGUAUGGAAUACAUUAAAAAAAAAAAAAGAUGGUCACUAUCUUGUGUUAUCCAAAAAAUACCAUCAUUUGAUUCUAGACAAGAGCCAGAUUGAGCUAAAGUGGUACUCCUUAAGCCUGCAUAUCCUGCGACCCUUUAAUCCAGUUCCUCAUGCUGUGGUGACCCCCAACCAUAAAGUUAUUUUUGUUGCUACUUUAUGACUGUGAUUUUGUUACUGUUAUGAAUCAUAAUGUAAACACCUGUGUUUUGCGAUGGUCUUCGGCAACCCCUGUGAAAGGGUUGUUCGACUCACAGGUUGAGAACCUCUGAACUAGAGGCUAUGUUGAGGCUAUGUUGAGGAUGGAGAGCAAUGAGGAGAAGUUCUUGGGAACUUCCAUUCAUAAACCACUCAGCUGAAUAUGCAGAACAGUCAUGUCUUAGCCUGUUCCAGCUGCCAUGAAAACCCACCACAGACUAGAGCUCUAGACACUGCAGAGUCUCAACUCAAGGUUCUUCAUCACGCGACUCCACUUAGGCGUCUCACCUUAGCUUAAUGAGGCUCAAUGGCUUGUUUUGUGCUUCCAUGGCCCUGCUUCGUGAGAGAGGAGAGAGAGAAAAGAGUGCCCAAGAGUUUCCCUCCUACAGAGCAUGUCUGAGUUAGGGCUUCUGUUUCUGUGAUGAAACACCAUGAGCAAAACCAACUUGGGUGUCACUCAUAUUUCCACAUCACAGUCUAUCAUUAGAGGAAGUCACUGUAGGGACUUAAGCAGGGUAGGAACCUGUAUCAAGAAGCUGAGGCAGAGACCAUGGAGAGGUACUGCUUACAGGCUUGCUCCUCAUGGCUUGCUCAGCCAACUUUCCUAUAGCACCUAGGACCACUAGUCCAGGGAUGGCACUACCUACAAUGAGCUGAACCCUCCCUUUCAGUCACUAUUUAAGAAAAUGCACCACAGGCUUGGUCACAGAGAAACCUGGUUAAGGCAUUUUCUUAAUUGAUGUUUCCACUCCCCAAAUGUCUCGAGCUUUUACCAAAUUGCCUUCAAACUAGCCCACUAAGGACACUCAUCCCAGUAGAUCAGAGCCCACUCUUCAGAUCUUGUUUAAGUCUCGCUAUUUUCUUAGAAGUCCUGUCUCCAAAUGCAACCACCCUGGGGAGUAGACAUUCAAAAUCUGAAUUUUCAGAGGACAAUUUAUUUAUGUGAGAUUCCAGGCAAGGGCAGAGGGGAGUAAAUGGAAGUUUUGAUCAUGUGUAAAUAUUUAUAAUAUCCCUGACCAAAGCUAGUCUUUAAUUCUGGGUGAGAUUGAUGAUUGAUUGGUUGAUUGGCUAAAAUCACAUCUAUUAGUUCAGGCCAGCAGACUGGAUUUGAUUCCAAACAAAUGGACAUUUCACACAAGAGACAAGGCUAUAAAUACACAGUCCGUGGGAAGGGAUCUUUUGUCUUCAAUUGUCACAUUAGCCAUUGAUUUCAACAUUUCUAUCACACUUUAUUUAUCGUGCAUAAACUUAGUUGUAUGUGUAUGCGCGUGCCUGUGUGGAGGUCAGGGGAAAACUUUAAGGAGAUGGUUCUCACCUAUCCAUAGGUCUUGGAAUGACACUCAGGCAAGUUCCUUUACCCAAUGAGUUACUUUACAGGCGUCUCCUCGUUGACUUUUGUCUUCUUAGAUUCCUGUCUCUUUUGUCUUAAAAAAUUCCUGAGUUAUUGCAAGAAUGCAAACUUCCCACAGAGCACAUCACUUAUUAUUAUUAUUUUGCAUUUGUCAACAUGCCAUAUUCUCACAAAUCAGCUCCCAGGUAAAGAAGCUGAGACACAUCUCUGUUGAGAUAUGUUGAGGAAAGAGUACACAUAACCUGUCUGAGGCUCUCCUUUAAUUGAGAAUGGCCUGUGUGUUGCUUGGCAUUUGAAAAGUCAGAUAGGUAUCUAUUCUCUACUUUGCCACAACCAAGAGGCAAAUAACUGCAAGUCUAGAAAUUUAUCAUGAUGAUAUGCAUACCAAAAUUUCUUCUGAUCCAGAAGCAGAUAAUUUGAUUGCAAAGCUCUCUGAGGCCCCCUCUCCUGAGCCUGACUGAAGACAGCUUGCAGUUUUUUAUCAUUUGCUGAUUCUUAGCUAUGAUAAGCCAAAGGAGAUAUAGAGCAUGCCAAUCUCCUGACUAAGAUGUCAAGGUUUAGUGACAAAGCAUAGUCUGCCAGAUUUAAUAAUGCCAAAUAGAAUCAUAAAAAUUCACUUGCUACUCCGGAGAUGCCUGUGACAAUUGUAUUCAAACUAUAUCAGCAAUAUCUUUAAAAAAAUGUAUUCUUUUAUUUAGUGGUGUGUGUGUGUGUGUGUGUGUGUGUGUGUGUGUGUGUGUGUGUGUGUGUGUGAACAACAGAAGAGUUAAGAGUAGAGGAUAGAGAAGUGAUUUUACAACAAAAUUUCCAAAACAGGUUCUAGUGGGGCCAAGCAGGGAAGGAGUGAGGAAGAAGACUAACACAGCCAGUGCCUUCUCUGUACAACCCCAGCUCGGAGCUUCCUCUCUCUCCAACCCUGGGGACUGGCCCUGGAUGGCCUGCUCUACAUUUUUACUGUAGUCAUGCACACUGGAUAGCCUGAGCUGCACUUUACUGCUGAGACUAGAGAUUCUCUGAAAGAUGAGCCCUUUGAGAUGAUGCUUUUACAACAAGGGUGGGGGCCUAGCUGCGUCUAUGUGGCUCUAAAGUCCAUGGCUAAUGUUCUCUAGGACUGUUACGUGCAGGUGGGAAAACCAUACCCAACAUCAAGAGAAGGCUUAUCACAAAAGAUGGUGGUGGGGAAGACCAGGCUGGCGAAAGGGAAGGAUUUUCAUCUGGAUCAGGCAUGUGGAAUGCCUCCAGUAUCUGUUGCAACCUUUGUCAUCUGUGUGCAGGUCACAUGGGUGUCUGCUCUAUAAAAACAUCUUUAGACUCUAGGUAUGUUUUAGGACAUCUUCUGCACCUCACAUUUAUAUCACAUACCAUACAUUAUAGUGAAGUUUUUUGUUAAAUUGUUUAUGGAUUAAGGAUUGAACCCAGAGUCUUGCAUACACUAAGCACGCACCCUUCUACCACUGUGUCCCUGCCUUGGCUCUUCUUGUCCUUGUAAUGUUUCGUCAGCAAAACACACUCGGACAACCAGAUCCUUCUACGGCAAAGCUUUAUUGCUUACUUAUCAGGAAGACCUCGAAUACAGGAAACUCAGUCCUUUUAUAACCCACAAAGAGCGGUUGGAGACAUGUCAGCUCCUGAUUAGCUGCUCACCAUUAGCCCAGAUAACGCCACGGGACAGGCAGGGCACAAGGCAUGGAAAAAUAACCCAGCACAUGCGCAGACUACUGGUUUACUAGUUAGAACACCGGAUAUCAGCGCCAUCUUGUAAUGGCGAUUGCAAGGGCGGCUCCUCACAGGCUCUUGUACUUUUCACAGUUGCUCAGACUUGCCCUGGACCUUCUCUAGCUCAGGCUAGUCUUGAACUUGCAAACCUCCUACUUCAGCCAACCCAUUAGCUAAGACUAUUGGCCUGUACCACCAGUCAUGACUUACGUAUCUUAUAGUAAGAAAUUUAAAGCACAAAGAGAUUCCCUACGCCUUGCACUCCAUCCGCUGAUUUGCGUGCUCAUGAGGUCAGUGCUAAGUAUCUUCCUUGCUCACUCUCCACCUGACUUUUUGAGACAGGUUCUCUCACUGACCCAGGAGCUCGACAAUUCAGCUAUGCUGUUUAGCUAACAAGUUCCAGGGCUAGACCAGCAGUGGUAUAUCUUCUCCAGCACAAAAGCACAGACCUGUACCACUGUGCUUAGUGUUUUAAGUGGACACUGGGGAAUUGAACUCUGGUCCUGAGGCUCACAUAGCAGACAGUUCAUGUCUAGUCCAGCUCUCUGAUCAGUACCUUUUAAUUGUUUAAUAGGCAGAGAGCAGAGUCUGUCAAGAAAUUUUUUUUCACUCGAAGACAUGGAGAAGCAGGAAUGAGUUUAGCAAAAUCUUUAAAAUGCCUGCUUGCAUGUGAAUGAACCAUAGCACAAGACCAGGAGGUUCCACUGGCUUCCAUGGGCUGUGAGUUUGGGGAGAGUACUAUUUGUUCUUUAGAAUUUGAUAUUUAAGACUGAAAAAAAUUGAAAUAUCAUAAAAUACAAGCAGAUGAGUUACUUAGUUUCUCAUUGCUGCAACAAAUACCUAAGGAAAGUAACCUUUUAUAAAGGAAGGCUGGGCUUGGAGACAUGGUUUAGCGGUAAGAGUGCUUACCAUACGAGCAUUGGGGCCUGAAUUUGGAUCUCAGCAGCCAUGUAAAAUACCAGGCAUGGUUAUACACACCUGUGACCAUGACAAUGUGGGGGAUUCCUGGGGCUUGCUGGCCACCAGCAUAGUUCCAGGAUCAGUGAGAGCCCCUGUUUCAAAGGAACAUGACAGAAAGUGACAGAGUAGGGCACCUGAAGUCCUCCUCUGCCGCCACAUGGGAGCUUGCAGAGGGCUGAACGGCCUGCCCCCUUUCAGUGUAGACAAUGUCAGAUCCAUGCAGGGCACAGGAUCUGUAGCAGACUCCAGUAUAGAUCUCUGCUUAAAAACAAAGUUUAGCUUUUCUUUGCACUAAGGAGGAAUAAGUAAGCACUUGCUAAGUGCUUCCACUUGGUUAGAGAAACGAGAGUGUCUGUGUCAGUCAUAGAAAAGAAUUAUAGGAAGAGAAAUCAGUGCAUAUCUUCAUGGGCCAAGAGUUGAGGUGGAGCAGUGGGCACGCUCAGUAGGAGAGACGAUGCCCCUAGGGUCAUCAGUAACAGAGUAGACAGCAAAGCCAGAGAAAUGAAUCAGCACAGCUGGACCCAGGGACCAGAGUGUCAGACAGAGCUCUUUGAUGCUGUAACAUUCAAAGCAAGUGUCUCCUUGCUUACAAGGUCCAGUAGGUCUCCUAGGCCAUAGGAGUGAUAAUAUAACAAAAGCAAGCCCUCCAGAAAAGUGAGGGGGGCGGGAUUUGCUUAAAUUUGAAGAAGAUAGUGAGGCAAAGGAUUAUGGGGAAGUCUCUAAGGAAAUAGAGACAUGAAAACAAAGCAUUCUGACUUCUGGCCAGGGAAAAUUUGCAGGACUGGGCUCUGCUGAUAACAAAGCCGUAUGACUGACGUGGCUAUGAGUCUACACGGCACUUUCAGCACAUCCCUGCCCCGUGAGCUCAUGUCUGAAAGGAUCUGACUGAGGCGGAAGUAAUUGCUCACUGGGAUGUGACCUCCCUUUGGCACAGCUAAUCAGCCAUGCUCUGCCAUUAUGGAUCAGUGGCUCUAGCUCUCUGUUAAUACGGUGCUGUGCAAAUACACACCCCUCUCUGACCUCCUUCCCUUGUAGCUGGUGCUAGCCUGUGAGAAAACAUCAAGAAGAAGCCACAGGGCAGCACUUAGUCCGGCUUUGCAGCCUCUACAGGAACCCUUCUAAAAUGUACCCACAACGUUUGGGGAUUCUUUGGGGGAUACUGUUUUGACUGGCUACAAGUCAAUGGUUCUCACCCCACGUCUGUUUCAGUGAGUGGCUAGAAUGGAUCAGACUCAGAAAAACACUAUGUUUAACAGUUUGUGGGGAAAAAAAAAAGUUCCGAUUGAGGAAGGGCACAAGGCAUACAGAGAAGAAAGACAGGACAAUCAGUGGCUUCUCUGGAUGACCCGCUCCACCCCAUCCUACCCUGCCUCACCCCACAACUAGGGUUCUUCAACACAAAAAUUCAGAGAGCUCUAUUCUAUAGAGGUUUUGCCAAGGUUAAAUUAAAUAUCAUGUGUGAUUAAACCAUUGGCCACAGAAAUGGACCUGAUCCUUGUCCUCCCCUGCCUCUCUGUUGAUAUGGCGUCUUAGUGACUGGUCCCCAUCUGAUGAUGAUACCGGAGUCCUCCCUUUGUCUCUUAGGACAAUCUCAUCAGCAUAAGACUGAGUAAAUUCCCAAGGUCUCUAGAAGCUCUAUCCCAGGCAUCUGGAACAAGAGCCAGGUAAAAGCACGUGGCGCAUGGGUGCAUGAGUGUGCCAACAAUGCCAUACUGGCCAUGGAAGUCUCAUCAGAUUCCAGUGGAGCUGCGAGACUCCUGCUCACUACAGUGUGUGUUUCGAGUAUGGUAUGGUGAUGCACAGCUGUAAUCCCAGCAUUCAGGAGGCUGGGACAGAAGUGAGUAUCGACAAAAGUGAGCAUCUCAUGAUCCAUUUUUAGCAUGAAUCAUGCACUGACGAAUAAAACUCUUUUAUACCUUAGAUACGGUUUGGGUUUUGAGACAGGACUCAGUAUAGUGCAGGCUGACCUCAAACUUGCUAGGUAUCCAAGGAUGACCUUCAACUCCUAAUCCUCUGCUUCCAUCUUCAGGGUGGUGAGCAUACAGAUGUGCACGACAACAUAUGAUUUAUCCAGUGCUUGAGUCAAAGAACUUGAUUUCCAUAAGCUGGGCAAGCACUACACCAACUGAAUGGCAUCCCAGCCCUUGAUAUGUUUAGAUACACUAGUACCACCAUGUAAUACUUGCCUUUGGUAUUCAGUAUAGCAAUGUGCUAAACAGACCUGUAACCAAGAGUCAUAGGCUUAUACCAUCACAAAACCUCAGUAUGUAGCAGGCUUGAUGCUUAGAUUUGUCAAAGUAGAUGCUGUCAUGGUCACAAGGUUAUCUCCUAACCAUGCAUUUUUUUAAAACCAAAAACUCCCCACAGUUGUAGUUAAAUCUUUCUACAGUGAUGGCCCAACUGCAGGGGAGGGGGGAAAGAGAUAGAUAAUAUCCAAUAGUCCCAAAGGAAAUUAGGAAGGAAAGAAUUCCUCCAAAAUUCCCUAUAUUGUGAGGUGUUGAAGGACAGUUUGGAUCAUCCCUCCCACAGUCACAUCCCUGACUGUGAAAAACACUAAUAACCCUUCUGGGGGACUUCCAGUUUUAGGGGGGCGCCCACCUUUGGUCCCUAAGUUUCUUGAACACCAGCCAGCUCAUUGCUUCAGCUUCCUGCUUGCUUCCUGUUGGGAAGACACUGUGUGAGACACUACACCUCAUGGCCCCUCAGUUACCUCUGCUGGCUCCUCACCCCCAAAUCUUCAUGGCCCAUGUUUCAUGUCAGCCAUUCUGUUUACCACCUCUCAAGGUUUUUAAUUUGAAUAAGGAGCUCCAGAGAGACUGCCACCUCCUCUGUUAUCUUACAGACAACAAAACGAAGCUCACAGCUCUUAAAUGCUGAGUCACUAGAGGCUCAGCUAGGUAACAAAUGCCUUAAACACUGUACAUCAAAUAAUCCAAUGAGACUGGUUUCAUCGUCCACAUUGAGUAGGGAAGGAAGCUGAGGCCUCACUCAUCUGCCCCAGGGGUAGCGUAGCUGGCUGGGCUCAGUUGGAGAAGUGCUUAUUGCUCAAGCAUUACUCACACUAAAACAAAAAACAAAAAAAAAAAAAAAACAACAACAACAACAAAAAAAAAAAACAGCCUGGUGUGUCAAUGCGUGCUUGUAAUCUCAGCACAGGCAGACAAGAGACAUGGGCCACCCUGAGGCUUGCUGGCUGGCCAGUCUGGUCUAGUCAAGUGAGUUCCAGGCUCAAUGACUCUAUCUAAAAAUGGAAGGUAAAUCAUAAUUGAAGAAGAGAACUACUAUCACUCUCUGGCCUUCACAAGCACAUGUGCACACUCUCUGCCCACCAGGCACACACUCUGCCCCAGGCUUCACACGUCAAGGCAACAAUGCGGAAGCCAAAGCCAGAGCCUCUCUCUCCCUUGAUACUUGCUGGCAUUGAAACCCAAGAGGGUCCAUCUUCCCAUACUUCCAGGAUGUAGAAAUUCCUGUAAAAGACUUCUAAAAUAGAAGUUACCUUUCAACCCUAAAGCUGCAUCUUGUGUUAUUGCCAGUUCUUUCUGGGUCAUUCUGGACCACACAAGAUUUUCUUUGGGUUUUUAACACAGCAAGGGAAGAAACUUUCAGGAAUAAAUUAUUGCCCCUUCCCCAUUAACUGAUAGUCAGCUGGGAGCAUUAGAGGGUGAGUGGAUAAAGGAUAGUCCAUAUCAACCCACCAUGAACCUCUGGCUGCUCAAAUGACUGAUGAUUGAAAAUUGACUAUGUUCUAGUCUGAAUGGUUGAAUUAAUAUGGGAGAAUGUUUUUCUUCCUUCUUUUCUACUUUCUUCCCCUUUCUUUUCUCUAGGUCUGUUGUUUGUUUGUUUGUUUUUGUUGGUUAUUUUUUCAUGGUUAAUGAUGAUGUCCUUUCAGGAAGCCUGAAUCUUGUUCAUAAGCUAAAUCCAUGAUUCUUCUACCUAGAGUAGUGGUUCUCAACCCCCUCUAGGUGUUGAAUGACUCUUCCCAGGGGUGCAGAUCAGAUAUGCUGUAUAUCAGAUAUUUACAUUUUAAUUCAUAUCAGCAGCAAAAUUACAGACAUGAAGUAGCAGCAAAAAUAAUUUUAUGGUUGGGGGAGGGGGAUCAUGACAACAUGAGGAACUAUAUUAAAGGGUUGAAGCAUUAGGAAGGUUGAGAACCACUGCCCUAGCGCCAUGCAUAUAGUUGUUGACAUACACUAGGUGAAAGGUCACAGCAUUUUGCCAGUCCCAUAAAGACCCAAAUCCUUGUAAAUAUGAUUAACACCUGCUCACAAAGAGCUUCUAAAGCAAUCGAGUCAUGGUGUUGAGGUCCAAGCAGUGGAUAGUAUGAAUACACCUUGAAGACUUUGUAUUUCCCUAGUCAUUUGCAAAAGCAAUAUCAGCUUGGUUACCUCUGGCCCAGGCUCCAGCAGGUAUAAGCCGACAAUCCAAGACAACCUGCCACUUUGUCCUGGGCAGAUGGAGUGCUACGUUCAAGGUCAUUUCUAGUGCAGUUUGCAGUGUUCAGAGCUGGAACCUUCCACUCCCCACAGAUACAAUGAGCCAACAGUCCAGCCAUCUCCAAAAGGCUGACCCUGUAGAGCAUCUAAUGAUAAAAUCCAAACACCCAUACACAAAUAAUUUUGACUUCUAUUUCUUUAAAAUGUUGUCAAGUUGGGCCUUUGGGUUCAGCUGAUAUGGAAAUAUAAAUGUCACAGAACAGUUUUGCGUUAUGCCCUGUGCCUUCAUGUUUUAUAAAACAUUCCUACUACUUAAGAGGAAAUACUGGUUCCUGGUAUUUUUUCACAAUUUGAGUCAUACACAUCAGGUGUCACAAUUCUAAUCAUUAUUCACUUUAGAGUAGUAGCAAUUGUAUUGUUUGGUGUAGUUUAAGAAAAUAGUUUAAAUAUUUUAAUAUGUUCAUAGACUGGGGCAUAGUUCCACAGUACAGCACCCAGCAACUCAAAGCCUUGGGCUCAAUCUCCAGCAUUCCAAAGCAAACUGAAAACAAGCAACAAAACAAACUUAUAGUAACAAAUUAUUUAGCAAUAUGAAAGUUAGCAAGAGUUUUUUAAUAUGAGACUGGAGAGAAGGCUCAGCAGUUAAGAGAUCUUGCUGCUCUUCAGAGGACCCAGGUUCAGUUCUCAGCACCCACCCCAGGCAGCAGUUCACAGCUGCCUGGAACUCCAGCUUCAGGGACCCAUUGCCCUCUGAUGUCCUCCAUGGGCAUGCACCUCCACAUACGUGCACACACUGGUGGUCACACACACAUAUACUUAUAAAUUAAAACAUCAUCUCAUCAAAAGAAUCUGUGAAGACAGUGGAAUAAACCCAAGGUGGUUAAUGAAAUGCCCACAGAAGGGAUAAUCAGGAUAUCAGUAAGCUUUCUCAUUACUGUGACAUAAAUACCUACACCUAAGGAGAAAGGGCCAAUUAGGAUCACGGUUUCAAAGGGAUUUCAUUCCAUCAUGGCUAUAAAUGAAAGGUAGAAAAAGGAGCUCCUUCGUAGCACUAGGACUGUGAGGCAGCAACUGUUCAUGCAGAAUGACCAACAGGAUGAGAAUAGAGCCCUUGUAAGAUGUGACAUCACAUCUUAGAAUUUCCUUGGAAAUAAUGUGGGGCACAACACUAACAUUAUUCCAUUGAAAACUGUUCUUCCAUUCAUUCAGUCCUCAGCAAGUUCAAUGGCAGGUGGUCAUAAUUUAGAUAAAGAAAAUUUUUUUCUGUCUCUACCUAGACAGACAAGAGAGUUGGGUGCCACAUGUAAAAGCGUGCUUUCUUAUGUUCCCAUGUCCUGUUGUACAUUCACAUCUGGAAGACUUCAACAGUUUUCAAGAGUGACGAACAUCCACGUGUACUUUCAAAUAGUUGGAGACUGAGUUCCCUGACCUUCUUGGAUGGCUAUCAUCUGCCUAUGUUUUUUUUUUUUUUUUUUUAAAGAUUCAUUUAUUUAUUAUAUGUAAGUACACUGUAGCUGUCUUCAGACACUCCAGAAGAGGGAGCCAGAUCUCAUUACGGAUGGUUGUGAGCCACCAUGUGGUUGCUGGGAUUUGAACUCUGGACCUUCGGAAGAGCAGUCGGGUGCUCUUACUCACUGAGCCAUCUCACCAGCCCUCAUCUGCCUAUGUUUAAGUCAUGGUGAGACGGCAUAGGAUGCAUGAUGCAAUAUGGACAUCACGUGGACGGUUGCUAUUCCGAUGCAUCUUUGGAGUGAGACAAGAUGGGGAAAGUUGGCAUGUCUGUGGUACAGAUACAACCAUUGUAGACCAACUAGCUUCUUGGUCUCUGACUGGGUAAAUUCAAGAAUGUAUAAUUGGCAGAUAUAGAGGCCAGCUAUACAGAGAUUUCACUAUGAGAUUUUAGGGACUGACUUCUUCAUUAAACAAGAGAUCAUUCUGGGUUUUGUGUGGUUUUCAAACAAAUUCAUUAUUAUAACAUAAAAUUUGCAUUUUGGAAAGAGCACAAAACCCACACGAAAAAAAAAAAUCUCUACCAAGUGAACAAUGAAAGUGGCUGCCAAUGCCAAAAUAAUUCAGGACACCCACACAGCAUCCCCUGACCCUCUGUCCCUCCCACUGUAAACAUAGGUCUAUUCUUGUUUCUGAUUGAGUAGUGCUUGCUGGUCUUGAACUUCACAUAAGCAUGAUCAUAUAUCACACGCCCUUUUUGUCUGGUCUCUGUUAUUCAAAAGUACAUUUCUAAGAUGGCCUGAUUCUGCGCUCCACAGAGACUCACUCACUUCCCUUGCUGGAGUUCAUCCCUCAGAUGAUCCUCUAGUAAAAUAUAUACACAUAGCUAUCUACUCUCUGAUGAAUGUUUGCACGGUUCGUGGAAAAUAUUGCUGUGAGAUACCUGUUUGCUACCCACAUGGACUUGUUUUGUUUGGAUGUGAGCUCAAAAUAAAAUCUCUCUCUCUCUCUCUCUCUUUCUCUCUCCCUCUCUCUCUCUCUCUCCCUCCCUCCCUGUCUCUGUCUCUCUUUCAAGCUCUGCAUGUGUAUGUGUGUGGCAUGCAUGAAUGUGUCUAUGUGUAUUUCAUGUGCAGAGUCACUUGUGUAUACGAACGAAUCUUUGUGUUAGCAAAUACAUGUGAAGGCCUGGCAUUGGCUUCAGGCAUCUCCAUCCAUCACUUCCACUUUUUAAAGCAGAGUCUUUGGAUGAAUCCAGACCUAGCCAAUGCUGGCUAGUCUAGCUAGUCAGCUUACCUCUGCCUCCUGCUUGCUGGGGUUACAGGUAGCAACUAUGCCUGCCUGGCUUUUCACACGGGCUCCUGGGAUCCAAACUGAUCAGAAUGCUUGCACAGCGAAUCCACUUUAUUCACUGAGCUGUCCAUCCCCAUCUCCAGACCAAGUUAACUCUUGUUUAACAGUGCAGCUCAGGUAGAAAGAGUGGACUGGGUUUCCAUUUUGCUGCAAAUACACAAGUUUAUUUAUAACAGAAGAAAGACAGUCAACCGAGAUUUUCAAGGCGGAAAGCUGAUGUGUAAAAUGAAACUGGGAAAUAUCGGAGUGGGCACAGAAGCCAGGAUUUUGGAGAAUGUCCUGAAAAAGGUUUUGUGAAAGAAGUGAGAAGGAAGCUGACUGAGCGGCCUCGAAAGCAGCUGGGAGAAGAGUGAAGGACAGAUGGAGCUCUGUUCUAUUGGAGAAAGCAGAACUGCUCUGAUUGCCCGGUUUCAGCACACACACACACACACACAAACACACACACACACACACACACACACACACACACACACGCAUGCACAUAAAACUGAAAAGCCAAAACAAAGCAGAAGAAAAGCCCAUGUGACUCCUCCACUCUGGGACGUUUUCACUGUGCACCAUGUCACCUUUCCAGAGCUUCUACAUGACAGGGCCAGCCAUCCGGCCUUCCCGAGAGGGACCCAGACAGGACCAGUCAUCUUACCUUCCCGAGAAGGACCCACAGAGUUCUUUUUAUUAAGAAGUGGAACCUUCUCCAGCUACAAAGGCUGCCCCUGCUACUAUACAGGCCAAAGAAAUGUCUUCUGUCUGCUGGCGGGUAAUAGACACCUUCCUUCUCUUGUGUGCUGUAUAUUUCUCUGUCACCUACUUUCCCAGCAACACCUCAUUAGUAGGAACACCUGAUCACUAAAGGCAGAAAGCCCCACACCCCACUGUGGGGUGAGUUCAGGCUCUGUAUGACCUGACUGACUGGGGAGAAUACAUUUGCAGCGUGGGGAAGAGCUACCUGAGCUAGUCUGGGUGUCUGCGGAGUGCCAUUGAAUUACCAAGGAGUGACUAUGAGUGAACAUGCCCACCUGGGCAUCCCAGCCUUUAUUCUGGUCACCAGCUUCACGUGUGGUCAUUUGCCAACCAACCAAAUGAGACCAAAUGUCCCCCAGGGCCUGUUCCCUGUCUCUCAGGCCUGUUGACCCUCCCGGCUUUAAGCAUGGCAUCACUCUGUGUUCCCCCACAGUCACUUGAGCUAAGUCCCUUUUGUCCGGUCCUCCGAAGCUCUUCGUUGCACAAUGGGCAUGCUAUUAAGAUCAUCGAGGACAUGAAUACUGAACAUUUUCUAGCGCUCCUCCCCCAUGGCCCUGCCACACACUCUUCCCAAGCAGCUCCGCCACUCCACAAGGACACUCUGUUUCGUUCCAUGGAAGAAUGGUCUUCCUUGGUGGCAGGGAGCAAGUGAUGGCUCACAAAACUACUGUUGUAUCACGUGAUCCCAGUGUAAUGGAUGAAUCACAGAUUUCAAAACUUCUUCUCAAAUUCCUUAGAUUUGACGGAGUGAGCAAGUAUAAGAAAGUUCUGGACCUGAGCAGGUGCCAGGCCUUUGUAGCUAGAGAAGUCUCUACUUCUUAAUUCACAGAGCUGUCCAUACCUGAGCUCAUCCCUCUGGGGUCAAAAUGAAAUGGUGACUACCAUAGAGGGCUAUGGUGAGAGUUAACUAAAUUCAUAUUUGGGGGCUGGGCAGGUGACUAAGUCUCUAAAGUAUUUACCUUGCAAGUAUGAACAUCUGAAGUCAACCUCCCCCCCACCCCCCUAGAACUCACAUAAGAAAAGUCAGGCAUGAGCUGGGGCUGUGGUUCAGUGGUUAGAACACUUACCUCUCAUGCGUGAAGUCCUAGGUUCAAUUCCCAGUAUCACCAGGAAAAAAAAAAUCCAGGUGUGAUACUUGGAAUAGUUCUGGAAAGAUGGAGACAGGGGGGAGAGCCAGCCUAACCUGUUUGGCAGGCUCAGGACAGUGAAAGACUGUCUCAAAAAAGGGUGUCUGUGAACUGACAACUAACCUUGUUCUCUAGGUCUUUGUACAUGUUAGAUAAGUGCUCUACCAACUGCUCCCAUAUUCCAGUGCACAUAUAUGUAUGUGCACACACAUAUACACAUAUACACACAUACACAAGUACAUAUCACAAUAUAUAAUAUACAGUGUAUAAUAGGGCUUGUAAUUAGAUUAGAUAGGUAGGUAGAUAGAUAGAUAUUCAUACAUAGAUGAUUGUAGAUAGGUAUUAGAGAGAUAAACAGAUAAACUAGAUAGACACCUAGAUGCUAGCUGAAGCUAGAUACAGAUUAUGGAUAGAACAAUUAAUAAGAUCUUACUCGGGCAUUAGAAAUACAAAUUCAUAGACAUGAAAGUUCUAUAUCCCCUCCAGCAUAUUCAGCACUACAUAUAACACCUUCCUCACGUGAGUAGAAAGAACAUUAUGAAGUGACACUAUGAGUGAGCAAUCUAAAUACAGUCUAAAGACAAGAGUCUUCCAGCAAUUUAUGACCCUAAGCGUUUCCAGCUGCAGGAUUAAUAGCCUGGUGUCUGCAGAACAUGGCAAAAAAUCACUACAACCUCAAUACAAAUUCAAUAGAAAACAGCAAGCUGUGUGAAUAUUUAAUAUGUUUAAUUAUGUUAUAUUAAUUAAAUCAAUUAUUUAGUGUCUUGGCUGCUAUUCUAUAAUGAUUUUUUGCAUGUUCAGGAAAUUAAUGGUGUCCACACUGUCCCUUGUUUGCUCCAGUAAAGUCCUGCCGGUUGACACUAUUGUCUGCCCAAACACUGCUUGUGACCUUGAGGAUAAAAGGAAGCUGACACGAUUUGCAACCGAAAUAAAAUAGGCUCUGGUCAUAAAUGUAAUGAGACACCAGGGUCAUCCUGACUGAUAAAAGUCACUGGUGAUGAGUCUCCAUUCAACCUAAUCCUAGAGAAGCCCGCAGACCCUUGGAGUCCUGGGGUCUCUCGUAUAUCUUAGUACACUGUGCAAAGUCUGAGGACCUUUGUUGGCUACAUCGCCGAUCACUUAUCAGAUCAGUUUCUCAUUUGGCGAGUUAAGCUUGGAUAGCUGACAACAGUUAUCAAUUUCAUAUGGUCCACAUCUAAUCAGGUGUCAUGGUCCCCAGUCAUUCAGGAUGCAAACCUUUCUUUCAUGAGCUGGUUAUGUCCUCUCAGAUCAGAAGGGAAUUUUUCCUAAGAGGAAUAUUUGAAUGACUCGCCCUUUGUAAUUGCUUGGUGUGGUUUUAAUUUUUUUCAUUCAUCCUUCUAGGUGUGCUUUGGGCAGAUAACACAGAAAUGCAUAAAGAAACCGUUAACAUGGAUUUUAUUAAGUUGCUUUUAAACAUGCACUUUACUGUGUAGAUGGUUUUAGCAUCUCUCUGUUAACUACUCACUUGUGCCCAUUACCAGCCGUAUUUAUGGGACACAGCUGGAUCUAUUUGAAUCAUGGAAGUCUUGGUUUAGAAAAGAGAAUUUGUGGGCUGUGAUGAAGCUCACUUCCACGAAGUGCUGGGUUUGCUCUCCAGUGCAGCAUAAAACCAGUCAUAGUAGCACACUACCAUGACCUCAGUACUCAGGGAAUGGAGGAGGGCAGAUCAGAAGUUUUUCAUAACCAUACGGGAACUUAAAUACAGCCACCUAUGUUGUGUUUUUAUGAGGGCAAAAUUGUUUAAGAAUGGGAAGCUUGCCUAAUGAAAGAUAUUUUUUAUCCAUUUUGUCCAAAAUUCAAAAGUUGCCAUUAGACUAUGUGGCUUGACUUAUCAAGAGUCAAAUGCUGUUUAAUACCCUGGGUGUGUGUACAUUGGUGCAACGUUCAUGCAGAGUCAGGUUGAAAAUUAUUUAUUUUUUAAUAUGCCCGUGACUUUUGAGUUAAUAAUUCCGCUUCAAAAAGACUACCUCAAAGGCAUAUUCAUGCAUAUGCAAAUUACAUUCUCUCUCUCUCUCUCUCUCUCUCUCUCUGAGUAAAUACUCUCUGAGUAAAUACAUGUAUUUAAAUGUCCAUAUAUGUAAUAUGAAACCUGCAUUCUGCAUAUGAAAGUAAACAUGCCAUAUUUGUCUUUCUGCGGCUAGCUUAUUUUGUGUAAUACAACGAUUUCCAAUUCUGUCCAUUUCCUUGAAAAGGCCAUAGCUUCAUUUUUCUUUAUGGCUGUACAUUUUGCCUUCUGAUCUCAGACAUCUGCCCCUCACCUGCCAAAUAACAGUGCCCUUACCCUGUUUGUUGCCUAAGAGAGAAAUGGAGACAACAGUUUCUGUGAAGAUAUGUGUAUCCCCCCGCAACACACACACACACACACACACACACACACACACACACACACACACA